GAGAACUUUUUGUGUGAAUAUAAAACACUGGAGGCCCAUUGGAUCCAAUCGUAUCGGAGCAAGCACAGCUCUUGGUUCUUAUACAACGAUAUCAUCACUACAUUUAGUGCUUUGUGGCUGGAAUGGAUCGUGGAAGGAUGCUUCUUGCCAUCGCAUUGGUGAUCAUGAUCAGCGGCAACAUCGAUUGUUCCAGGCCGGGCUCGUUUUCGGCGAUGAGCCAGCAGGCCGAGCUUUUCAAUUCCGAAUUGCGCCUUCCUGUUGUUAACAAGAUCCACAAUCUUUUCGAAAGGACCUUCCGGAGAAUGCUCAUCCAGGGUCAGCCCACGCCAUCCUCCGGCCCUUCCUGGUGCUGCCACGACCAUCCAUAGCAUUUUCCUAAAACGAUUUUUCAUUUCAAUACCACCAUUAUUUGGCUAAUUGAAGGGGCGGACAGCCACGUGGCUGACACGUCACGCUGGGAGACGGCGGCGAAUUCUCCUCCAAAUCCUCCGCCUCCACCCCUUUCCCCAUUCUUCCCCACCUCCGCUUCCUCCCAUUACAGUCACACAUCAAUUUACCCAGCUUGCGUCCAUGAGGCGCUUAUCUCACCAAGGUGAAGGGGAAUGAUAAAGGCAUCUUUCCAUUUUUCCCUGUCAACUUCAAGAGACUUGAGAGCUGCUUGGAAUUCCCCGAAGUUCCAGUCCAGCAAGUAAAGUCUCCACAAGACUUUCAGGGAUGUCUUGUACAGCUGCGAACAAUCAGCCGUGGUGGUGGCUUGCCCUUGUUCUGGCGAGAAGAUCUGCAAAGAGGAGCGGCUGCAGUGAGUCUCGAAGAUUCGCAGGUCGUUCGGAUUGGGCAUGGCUUGAGGGCCGGGCAGGGCAGGAGGGACAAGAGCCGGUGGUGCUAGAACAAGCUGCAGAGGGAAGUGGGCAGCACUGGCAAAGGCAGAUUUUUUCCCACUUGACGAUGGAGUCUCAUUGAAAUGCACGUCUGGUGAGAUGAUCAGCGUCUUGGAGACAGGAUUGUAGACCUUGUAAGCCUUGUGUUCAAUGCUAUAGCCUAGGAAAAUGCCGCUUGUUGAAGUGAGUUUUUUUCUAGUUUUAGAGGGGAUAUGGACGCCAUGGAAGGUGCGCUAAUCCAUUUGAAUUCCACUUUGUGCAAGAACCCUUGACAAUCCUGGACCUCAACAUUGGCAAGCACUUAAACGUGUCUUUUGGUACUUACGAGAUAUGUUUCCUUACAGUCUUAAGGCCAAGAGUCAAGCUAUGUUUCCUUACAGUUUUAAGGCCAAGAGUCAAGCUAUGUUUCCUUACAGUCUUAAGGCCAAGAGUCAAGCUUACUGGGCUGGCUUUGGCUAUAUUGUUUAGCCUUCGGUGUUGGGCCGGGUGUCGUUGAGGAGGCGGCAAAGCCAGAUGGCCUCUUUGCAUGCGGAACUAGCCUCCGCCUCACAGCUGGAGCAGGCAACGACGCUCUGCUUCUUGCUGCCAAUUGCAUUGUAAUCUACUGUAACAAUCAUCACAAGAUUAAUUCCCGGACGAAACACGCACCACGCUGGGAGACACGUCCAGUUCUUUCCAUGUUAUGCAAUCUUAAUUGAACACCACAACAGCCUGGAAAUCGAGUCCGCUGCUUCAUCCCACCAAAAAAUCUGAUCUCGUGCACAGCAUGAAACGAACAUUCUCUGUGCCUCUCCUGAUAGAGCCAUACAGGACCUUCUCAUGUCCAGCCAGCCACUCGAUUAUUAUAUGCAGCACACUCAAAUACAUCCAAGUAAAUCUUGAAAUCCUCGCAAAGUAGGCUAAAUGAGUCUGCUUGAGGAGGGCUUAAGUGAGUUGGCAAGGUGUAGUUUUGGUCUUUCCCUUGAACAUUGUAAGAUCAUGGACCUCACGUCACUACAGUGUCACCUUUAACUCAUUGUAACGCCGCAUAAAGGGAUUACUGCGUUUGCUCAAGUCCUCGAUGGGAGCGUGGAAGGUGAUAGCGCCUACAUCAGCUCCGUGAAUCGCAACAAGGAUUUCUUUAUUCUCAUGACAGGGGAUUUUAGGAUCGCGCCAGGCAGGGAUCACUUCGUCUGCAUGAUCGAUAUCUUCGGCCGUGGCAGGGAGAAUGCCGAGGAAUUGCUGCGUGCCAUGCCGUUUGUGCCAGAUGCUCUGAUUUGUAGGGUUUUGGUGGCAUCUUGCCGAUCGCAUUACGAUAUGUUUCGGGCACUGGAUCGACAUAUAUGGCAAAUCGCUCCAAGAGCGUGUUUAAAAUGGAAAUUGGCGGGAAAGCGAUGUGUUUGUUUUCUAGCUGUGCAUACUAUCGAAAGGUGGAAAAAGAAUUUAUUUAUCUUUCCAUUCAGUCAAGUCAGCCUCCCAACCUUUGGAGAAACUUUCAAGUCAUGCCGAUGAGCUCUCUCAACUUCUGGAUGAGACCACGGUCGUCAAUCUGGAACGCUUUUGCGAUCACGUUGUCGUUGAUUGGAGGACUGGAAUCAAACACCGCCUUGGCCACCUGAGUUGCCCCGGGGUUUUGGCUGUUGAAGCCAGCCAUCGCAACCGCAGGCUCCUUUCCAACGUUGAGCUGGAAGUGAAUGAGUCCCCGAGGGAAGACGAACAGAUCUCCAGGAUAGAGCAUUUGGGCGAAGAGCUUGUUGUCCGGCAAGGUGGUGAUGAAUCCGACUAAGAGGUUCCCGUGCACGAGGAAGAGCAACUCGGAUCCUCGGGGAUGGACGUGGGGGGGAUUGGUGCCGCCGGGAGCAUAGUCGAUGCGGGCAAAAGCUACACCAAAGGUGUUGAGACCGGGGAAAUUGUUGACACUCGCCAGCGUGACGUUGGAGCCGAGCUUGUUGUCGGUGUUCCCGGGAGUCGCCAGCAGGCUCGACUUGAAGUCCUCGGCUUUCACAUCGGCGGCCGCCUUGCAGACGACGCCGUUCACUUUGAUCUUGGAGCCAUUGUCUGCAACGCAAAAGUCCUACAGCAUAUCUUCAUCCGCAGCAUGUACAAACAAGAUGGAGCUGAUUGCUAGGAGGAAGGAUAGAACAAAACGAAGAUGAGCCAUCUUGCGAGCUUGGAAAAGACUGAUGGAGCUAUAUGAGGGAGGGGCAGGCAUUUUAUAGCCGGAGGAGGGGAGGCGAGGUCCUUUGGAUGACUUCGUCGUGAAUCGUGCACGAUUUUAGGUACACGGUCUUCUGUUCCCUUCUAUUUCAUUUUUUACUCUUGCUGUCCGCAUAACACAAUCCGAUUUGUUUGCUGCCAAGUCGUCUCGGAAGUUUUCUUUUACCGGGCUUGUCUAGAGCCGUCCAAAUCAUCUUUUCUUAGAUGAUGACGACCUUGGUUUUGAUGGUAGGAACCGGUCUCAGUGAAACUCGAGUUUUACACGGUCUUGGUAAAAGCUUUACACUAAAUUGCUUUAUUCUUCUUGGCACCAGAGACUUUUUAUAUGUGGAGUUUUAAUGGAAUUAUUAUGGAUUGUGUAGGUCCAUUGCUGAUACAAAUAAACUAUGGGUAUAUCGACCAAAGGUACGUCUAUGUAGGUUAUCAAUUUUGCAGACAAUUAUGUUGUCAGAAGGAUAGUUGCUCACGUAGUCAUGAGAUAUAUAUAGUCAUAGUCAUUGUGAUUAUUGUUUGCAUCAUUGUCAUGGGCAAAAUAGAAUGUUUAUUGCUGCCACUUUAUUAAUCAAUUUAAUGCAAUAAACUUAUGAUAUUAAAAAAAUUUAUAAUUUGUCCCACCAUUGCAAUCUAGGAAAGCAUCCAGUUGGGGUGGUGGGAGUGAACUGAGAAAUACUCAUUUAUUUCUCAUGUGCUGCUGUGUGAGCAUGUCAAUCAAUCAGCUGACCUCAGUAUUAGUGGUCGUGGGCAGUGCAUUCUAAAGCUCUUUGACUUGUUGGGCAAAGUCGGGCACCCAUGCUGGCAUGACUUGGUCGUGACCACAGCAAGUUUUGGUUGUUGAUAUGCAACUAGAACUUGUUUUAAACAGCAUAUGCAUCCUAGUCAAACAUGAGGCAGUUAAGAACUCUUGGAAUUCCCCACUAUUGCAAAGAAAUAAAGAAAAAAUAUCAAUGAUUACUCUAUUUAACUUUCACUCACCAUUUUGUUAAGGAAAAACUUAAACAAUACACCACAUUAUUAAAGAAUAGUUUAAACGACCAGGAUGUAAUCGUUUGUACUACUCCUAUUCCAUCUAUAGUGCCCAAUUGUGUAGUGCUGUUAACAAUGUAAAGUUGGGAGGCGGCAUUAGUCAUGUGGAUGUCCUCCGCUGCUGCCUGGUUCGAGGAGCCCUUCCACUGUUGUGAGUUGAGCCUGCAAAGUCUGUUGCAAUAUUAAAAACGUUUAAUUGCCCAGCAAGCCUCACUGGUUUGAUCAGUCAGUGUAUAGUUUUAUCUUAAGAGUAACAUUCCACGAACUAGAGAGUAGAAUUUAGAUGCUCAACCAAAGUCCCACCCAUAUCCAUAACCCACGCCUUGUCCACCAGUGGAAUCAACUCUCUGCGAGGAAAGAAAAUAAGAUCCAAGCACUAAUCACGCAAGUUUACCGCAGAUCAUGGCUCACAACGAGCAACGUCCUCUCCUUCUUUAAGUACGUGAGGUAAGAAUGUAGAUUGGAAUUUUUGGUGAGGUGUUGCUUUAAUGAAAGGUGAAACCGUGUGAUGGUGCUCAAGAUCCGUCAUAGCAUAUAUGGAAUGGAAAAUGUACAUAUGUGUGACAUGGUGAACCGGUGAAAACUCGUGUCUCUCCACGUGGACUAGCCACGUGGCACAGGGCCACUCUCAACACUCCCAGUGGCACUGUGGCCAUCACGAGUGAUGCUCAUCAGUGGAGAAAGUCCCAGCCCUUCGCGAUGGACUUGAAAUCGAUCUUGGGGUAGUGCUUUUGUGAAGAUAUUUGCAACCUGAGUGGUUGUGUCACAGUAGAUCAGCUCAAUUGUGCCAUCUUCCACUUUCUCACGAACAAAAUGAUGAUGAAUCCCAAAGUGUUUGGUGCGUGAAUGAAAGCGAGGAUUGGCCGCUAACGCAAUGCAGCUUUGAUUGUCGCAGAAGAGGCGAGUGGGAGUCUUCACACUCACACCAAGGUUAGAAAGUAGUGAGCGUAACCACACACCUUCUUUGGUAGCUUGUGAGGCUGCCAAAUAUUCUCCUUCAGUACUAGAGGUUGCCACUGUACUUUGCUUCCUGCUGCACCACGAGACUGUCGCACUGCCCAGGGAAAACGAAUAGCCAGAGGUGGACUUGCGUGUGUCACAGUCUCCCCCAAAAUCAGCAUCACAGUAGCCCGUGAGGGUAAGCGCUUUUCCCUGGUAGCACAAUCCAAGGUAAGUAGUACCUCGAAGGUACCUGAAGAUGCGUUUCACUGCUGCCCAAUGUUGAGAUCCAGGAUUAGCCAGGAAUUGGCUAACUUUGCUCACGGCAAAAGAAAUAUCUGGGCGCGUACAAACAGCUGGAUACAUGAGACUGCCAACAGCUUGUCUGUAAGGGAUGGAGUCCAUGGCUCUCUUGUCUUCCUCUGUCUCAGGAGACAUGGCUCGUGAAAGCUGGCAGCCUAGUUCCAUUGGUGUCGCCACUGGAUUAGAGCUCGUCAUAGAAAACCUGGCCAGUAUAUCUUCUAUAUACUUGGCUUGGUGAAGAUAGAUAGUGCGUUGAGAGCGAUCACGCACAAGUUCCAUGCCAAGAAAGUAGGAAGCCGAGCCAAGAGUUUUCAUCUCAAAUUGGCUGCAAAGAUCUCGCUUAACCUGGAGAAACAUUAAGCGAUGAUUAUGGAUGACAAGAGUAUCAUCAACAUAAAGAGCGAUGAUCACAAAUGAUUCACCCUCCACCCGAAUAUAAAGAUUCGGGUCUGCCUCGCUACGGGAAAAGCCCACACUUAGUAUAAAAUUGUCAAAGCGUUUGUACCAAGAUCUGGGUGCUUGUUUCAAGCCGUAGACAGCUUUCUUGAGAAGCCAGAGAUGAUCCUCUUUUCCAGCGGCUAGAAAUCCUUCUGGCUGUGCCAUAUAGAUUUCUUCUUCAAGCGCACCAUAAAGGAAUGCCGUGGUCACAUCCAUCUGUUCCAGAUCAAAGUCUCCCACCGCAGCAAAAUUAAUCAAGGAACGAAGAGUAGAAUGUUUAACCACUGGAGCGAAGGUGUCGUUGUAGUCAAGUCCAGGAACUUGCGAGCAUCCUUUUGCCACCAAUCGCACCUUGUAGCGAACCGAGCCAUCAGGAUUAAGCUUCAGAGCAUACACCCACAUGCUCUUGAUAAUCUGGCGAUUGGAAGGCACAGUUGGAACAAGAACAUGUGUCUCGUUCUUUUGCUGUGAAGCAAUCUCGGCUUCCAUUGCUACACGCCAGUAAGACGCUUCCUGUGAGGCCAUGGCUUCUCCAUAGGUCCUCGGAACAGUAGGAGUCCCAGCUGCACGAGAGGAGACCAUUGUCUCGAUGAGACGCUCAGUAGGCUACUUCCAGACUUUCAAGGAUAUGGGAGAAACACAAACUGGGAAAAUGCUCAAGCGAUUGAGAAGUGAUGGUGGAGGCGAAUUCACUUCCAAUGCUUUCAACCAGCUGUGUGAGCAAGGAGGGAUUGUGCGAGAACUUACAACGCGAGAGACUCCACAACAGAAUGGCGUAGCUGAGCGCAAGAAUCGCACACUAGUGGAGAGUGCUCGGGCAAUGCUACUUUCCAGUGGUUUGCCUCGCAGCUUCUGGUUUCACGCUGUCUUGACGGCGAACUAUCUCCAGAACCGGCUCCCCACCUCUGCCCUUGCUGGCAUCACUCCUGAAGAAGCAUGGAGUGGCAAGAAACCUACAGUUACGCAUUGGGCACACAUCCCUGAUGGAAUGCGCAAGAAAUUGGACCCCAAGAGCCAGAAGGCUGUGUUUGUGGGCUACAGCCUCGAUCACAAAGCCUAUCGUCUCUGGAAUCCAAUCACGAAGCAGGAGAUCCUGAGCAGAGAUGUGGUUUUCAACGAGAAUUCUUUUCUUCCUUCUAGUCAAGGUUCUACUUCCAGACCUACCUUGACCGAAGAAAAUGACGUUGAAGCGGAACAAGAUCAGUUGACUGUCGGCACGAUCACUGUGCCGCUUCAAACAGUCCCUACGCAACAACCCAUGCCCGCUUCUACUCCAACACCACCAGCCCCGCCGCCUCCUCCAGAUCCUCUACGCAGAUCGAUCCGCACAAGGCGCACUGGACGACUAAGAACCUGGAUCUAGACUUCAACGAGUGGUGGGAUUGGGUAUCGGCACCCAUGGCAGCCACUGUUCCUACAAAUCCGCCUCCAAAUCCACCACCUAUUUCCCCUCCCAUCACAAAUCCGACUGUGCCUACAGCGGAUAUCGUUUCAGUGGACGCAAAUCCACCAAAAUUUGAUGGGAGCAACUGGUGCUUCUGGAAGACAAAAUUCGAAUCCUAUAUGGAUGAACGAGGCCUCUGGGACAUCACCACAGGAACUGAGACACUUCCAGAUACAGCUACAGUGGAUGAAACUGCGAAGUAUCGCAAGAAGGACCGGAGAGCUUUGGGCAAAUUCCAUGCAGCGCUGGAGGGGCGAGAAUUUCAUUGCAUUGGACGGUGCAAGAGUGCAAAGGAAGCGUGGGAGGCCAUGAAGCAGACUUACCAGAUCCCUUCAACAUCCCAUCGCAUUUUUUUACGGAAGCAGCUUCAUGCACUGGUGAUGGCUGAAGGGGACGACCUCAAGGAUCAUCUUGCUGCAGCGAGAACAAUCUUAGAUGAUCUUAAGGAUGUGGGAGCAAACAUAGAGGAUGAAGAAGAAGCAGAGCUGGUGCUCGUCACACUUCCUCCAUCCUUUGAUCCUCUCAUACGUAACAGCCUCCAGGACGAUGAUCUGAGACGAAGAGCAACAACAGGAUCAGAGGCCGUUGCAUUCUACUCUUCUCUCAGGAAAGAAACAGUGAACAAAGGGAAACAAGGAGCCUCUUCAUCCAAGAAGCCCAAGUGUUCUCAUUGCAACAAGAAAGGCCAUGACGAAGCUCAAUGCUGGGUGAAAAAUCCAUCUCUCAAGCCUGUAAGGAACAAUGCAAAGAAAAAGGUGGUACACGCCUUCAUCUUGUCACGAGCUAUGGCAGUGGCAGCACUGUCUACAGAGUGCAUCUACCUGGAUUCUGCUGCUACAGACCAUAUGUUCAACAGUGAUAAGUACUUUGAAGCCUAUGAUCCUACAGCCACAGAGGAGUAUGUCAUCGUUGGCAAUGCCCAGCAGCUUGCUGUGAAAGGAAUUGGAACCAUCAAGUUGACUUUACCACAAGGAAUAGUCGUAAAGAUCCACAAGGUUAUUCCUGGUUUAUGUGCUAAUUUGUUCUCUGUGGGACAAUUUGCUGAGGAUGGGUAUCAGUUCGCCAUUACACCUCCCUUACCAUGCUGCCAGAUCUUGCUGGACGGAGUCUGGGCCUACACGCACAAAAGACAACGACCAGUCACUCACUGGAGCUUUGGCACGCACGCCUGGGGCAUCCUAGUGCUGAUAGAAUCAAGCAUCUCGCACGCGAGCAGAUGGUUGAAGGUCUAGACCUGGACCCAAGAGCAGUUCUUCCAUUGUGCCAGGGCUGUCAGCUAGGAAAAUCUACUCGCCAACCUUUCCCCAAGACUGGAGCAUCUCGAGGAACUUGUACACACUGAUGUGUGUGGCCCGAUGGCCACCACAGCAGUGGGAGGUAUCCAAUACUUUAUCAGUUUCAUUGAUGACUACAGUCGUCGCACUAUGAUCUACCCUAUGGCUCGCAAAUCCCAAUCGUUACACCCUCUUGCAAGGCCUGGAGCGCUUGGAUUAGGGCAUGCCUCUGUCCGGAGGCUCCGAUUCACCCUAGCAAGUGUUGCCCUGAUCCUAUGGUUUCGAAUUCUUCUCGCUCUCCCAGGCAUUGCUCUGAUACCAUCUAACGAAAGGUGAAACCGUGUGAUGGUGCUCAAGAUCCGUCAUAGCAUAUAUGAAAAUGUACAUACGUGUGACAUGGUGAACCGAUGAAGACUCGUGUCUCUCCACGUGGACUAGCCACGUGGCACAGGGCCACAGUUGCUGAUCUCUCUAUCUCUUGAAGCGCCCGAAGAGACAACGCAUGUUACUUUCGAUGAAUCGGCUGUUUCCCUCCCACAACCGGCCAAGACACACAACUCGGCUUGCAAAAAUGGCGAAGAGGUUUGCAAUUUUUUUUUUCCUUCUCUAUAUACUGAAGUCUCAAGCUUGCAGGGGUGCCAGAAUGCUGAAACGGAUUCUACCAGCCGGUGAGCUUGUUUUCUCGCGUGGCUAUUGGUGAAAUUCAUGGUGUUCUUGCUUUUUAAGGUUGCUUCGACUCGACUAUGCUGCCGCGAUGCGUCCCCAUCCUGAGAAGGUGCAAAGCUUACUUGCUAAUUUUUGUAGAUCUUCUAAGCUUUGCUGUUUACAGGCUCAAAGAGGGGGUGAAGAUGAUUUCUUCACUGAAGGCUCCUGGAUGGGUGUUGCUGAUGGUGUUGGGGGCUGGGCCGGAGAAGGUAAGAAAAAUCUUUCUUUGAGUAUGUUUCUUCAAAAGAGUUUUUACUGGUUUUCAGGCAUUGAUUCGGGGAUGUAUUCUCGGGAGCUUAUGGGACAUUGUAAGGCAUUGGUUGUAAACAGCAAAGGGAAACUGGACCCCAAGGACGUGCUUGUCAAAGCCGCCGGCAGUACAAAGGCCCAGGGAUCAGCAACGGUCCUUGUGGCUGCAUUGUUUGAGCAAGUAAGCUAGUCGGAUUUGAUGUUUGAGUCUGAGUCGGGUCAUAUAUUUCAGACAUGUACGCAGCAAAAUUGGGAGACUUGGGUUCAUCAUAGUUCGCAAUUGGGAGCCCAUGCAGCAUAGUUUUAACUUUCCGUUUCAAGUUGGAACUUUUGGUGACCAUCUUUUCCCUUAACUUUGCUAAUUUUCCGUCUACAGGAAUUCAAGAUCCCUGUCUGCAAGGGGGACAUCAUUGUUUUGGGAACUGAUGGCCUUUUUGACAAUCUCUUCAACGACGACAUAAUCGAAGUUCUUAAAAAAUCUCUUGGGUCCGACCAAGUCAACUUGAAAGUGAACUCUCGCUGUUGAAGAAUCUCAAGAUUGCUAAUAUUCUCUUCACUUUACAGGCAUGUAGCUGGGGCGCAGGCCGAGCGUUUGGACAAUUGGAGCGGUGGAAAGCGACGUGAUAUUUGAGUCGCGAAGGGUAAACUUUUCAAGCAGUUUUUGCGGAGGCCAGUGUAUAGGCCGCGGUAUUUCCGGUUCUUACGCUAAUUGAGCACCCUUUUGAUUGGCUCAUCUUCGUGUCUUUGGUGUCCAGCCUUCAUUAGAAACUGGUUUAAAUCGCAGGUAACUGCUGCUGAAUCUUCCUUUAAGAAAUCAAGGUUUUGUUCCAUCAGAAGGUUCACAGCCUGGAAGUUCUAGCCUCACUGGAGAUUGAACUCCGGACAGGACAGGUAUCUCUUCUGUUUAGAGGGAACUGCUCAGGGUGUUAGACGUGCCAGGGAAUCAGUUCAGCUGGACGAUCACGAGCCGGCAACAUGAUCUCUGGCUCGUCCUUCUCGGGGGUACAUGGAGCUGCUAGGCCUUUGGCGCGAUGGGAUCUUUCGCGACUGCGUGGCUCUCCAGGAGCUCUUCAACAGUCUCACUCCCCCAUCCAGCAGCAAACUCCGGAAUCUCAUGCUCGGCUCUACAUCUCUCAGCCAUCCAAGUGGGUGUGCGGGCUUGGAAGUGCUCGAACAACGUUUCGGAAGAGCUGUGUGGGCCGUAUCUUGUCUCUCAGCUUGGGCAGACUCUUUGAGUUUACUCGGAUCUCUCGGAGAACCGGUUGGAGGGGCUGGUUCUGAAGGACUAAGUGGUGGAAACCCUGCUACGGUCGGAUAGCAACAAAGAGCUCACGGAGAACAGCUUGAAGGACAGCUCCAGGCAAGCUCGUGUGGAGGAUCCUUGGAUACCGCUCUCGUCCCAGUACCGUGAGACUCCACCAGAAAGAUGGUGAGCGACGAAGGCAAUUGGCUGGAGCCGUGACUUCCUUCUUCGUCUCGAGUAUUUGGUCGCGUGUCCCGUCCACAUGGUAAGCCACGGAAUUGUUUCUUAGUUGCUCAAAUCUUAAUUCUUUCUGAUCUCCAGGUUGGUAAUCACCAUCACCAACUAAGAGGAAUUUUUUGCUUUGAGGUGGAGUUCGGUAGGCGACGAAGAAAAACUUUCCAGGAUGGGAGGAUGAAAAGUUACAGCCCGAGCUUGCUGUUCUUCGUGCUCCUCUUCUCCGCUGCGGCACUGCUACUCGUAUGGGUUCUCGACAUAAAUUCCGACUCCGCGAUGAUGUCCCGGAGCCGAACUAUGGGAUCAAACUUCCGCAUCAGCAACAACACCACAAGCUACAAGGGCAGCGACACUUGCAGGAGUAGGAACGAGUACGACUUCUACAGCCGCCGAAGAUCGACGAGCUUCGAGCCAUCCGAGUCGCUCCACCGGAAAAUCCUAGAGUACGAGGCUUUGCACGGGAGGUGCGCUCCGGGGCCCGAGCAGUGCGCGAACUGUAGUACAUGCGGCUACCUCGUCAAUGUUCCCGCCAGCCAGGGGAUCGGCAACAAGGUGGUGGCUAUAGUAGCAGCGUUUCUCUACGCGCUGCUCACCGACAGGACGAUGUUGAUCGCGAGGUUGGAGAACCUGGACACGCUCUUCUGCGAGCCGUUUCCAUCCAGCUCCUGGCUGCUGCCGUCGAGCUGGAAGCACCUCGAGUUGGCGCCGUGGGACGCCUCCAAGUGGAUUGGGAGCCUGGCGGGAUCGCCCAACUGCAGCCGCGGCGUCGACGUGAGCUUCCCCGAGGUGGUGGUGGCCUAGGACAAGGCCUUCUUCUGCCAAGACCACAGCAGGAGGCCAUCUUCCAUCUCCUGGUGAGGUACCGGUUGCUUCCCAGUGACUUCGUGUGGGACAAGGCGGCCAGGUACUACGACGCGUACCUGGCCCAGGCCGAGCUUCUAGUUGGGGUCCAGCUGCGAAGCCACAUCUGCCCAACCUCGCCGAGGAUACGUUCGACUGCCUGGUGCAACAAGGCCCGCUCGCAAACACCACCCAGGAGCGAGCUCCCAGAUCGUCGGUGAGGAAGAACAGCAAGAAGGUGGCGGUGUUGGUGGUGUCGCUCAAUUCGCAGUACUCGGAGACGCUCAAGAGCAAGGUGCUGGGAUACGAUCUAGCGGACGGUUCCUCGGUGUCCAUCCACCAGCCGAGCGUGGAGGGGGUGCAAAACACAGGGAACUUGGAUCACGACGCACAGGCGGUGAUGGAGAUCUACUUGCUGUCGAUGAGCGAUGUCCUGGUGACGAGCCCGCAAUCCACGUUUGGCUACUCGGCGGCAGGGGUGGCGGGCGUGCGGCCCGUGCAGUUUGUGUGCGACCAGAGAGCGUGGUUUGCUCGGUGAGGGAGACGAUGGAGCCGUGCUACCACGUUUAUCCGGCUCAGUUCGCGUUGGGCAACAUUGAAAAGUGCGAAUGCGGCGUGGGUUCAAGCUUUUAAGAUUUUAUUUUCUUUCUCGUGAUAGAUUUCUAAGUUGCUCCUUGGCUGCAUGAUGCAACUCUAGCGUCUUUUGUAGAUUUGCGUGGUCAGCUAGCUCAUGCUCUUGGCCCACGCAAAGUUGCGCCAAGGCUGCCUUGAAAUCCCACAUACACGGAAAAGGUAAUUUGGUGCCAAGAGCUUAUAGACUUUGAAUGGCGAACUGUCGUUUUGUCCAGGACUUUGAAAAGCUGCUCGUAUAGUGUUCUGGCUUGGAAGCUAACGAGUCUUGUUUUGACAGAUGGCACGCGCAAAGGACUUGACUGUUUACCAAGCCCGGUGGAGAACUUUUGUGUGAAUAUAAAACACUGGAGGCCCAUUGGAUCCAAUCGUAUCGGAGCAAGCACAGCUCUUGGUUCUUAUACAACGAUAUCAUCACUAUGUUUAGUGCUUUUGUGGCUGGAAUGGAUCGUGCAAAGAUACUUCUUGCCAUCGCAUUGGUGAUCAUGAUCAGCGGCAACAUCGAAUGUUGCAGGCCGCGUUUUCGGUGAUGAGCCGGCAGGCCGAGCUUUUCAAUUCCGAAUUGCGCCUUCCUGUUGUUAACAAGAUCCACACUCUUCUCGAAAGAACCUCCCGGAGAAUGCUCAUCCAGGGUCAGCCCACGCCAGCUCCCGGGCCUUCCGGGUGCUGCCACGAUAAUUGAAGAGGCGGACAGCCACGUGGCUGACACGUCACGCUGGGCAGGCUCUUUUCAUCUAAAUCCUCCACCUUCCCCACCUCCGCUCCCUCCCAUUACAGUCACACAUCAAUUUACAGCUUGCGUCCAGGAGGCGGUUGUCUCACCAGGUGAAGGGAAAUGAUAAAGGCAACUUUCCAUUUUUCCUUGACUUGAGAGCUGCGUGGAAUUCCCAGAAGUUCCAGUCCAGCAAGUAAAGUCUCCACAAGACUUUCAGGGAUGUCUUGUACAGCUGCGAACAAUCAGCCGUGGUGGUGGCUUGCCCUUGUUCUGGCGAGAAGAUCUGCAAAGAGGAGCGGCUGCAGUGAGUCUUGAAGAUUCGCAGGUCGUUCGGAUUGGGCAUUGGGCAGCAAUGGCAAAGGCAGAUUUUCUCCCACUUGACGUGAUGGAGUCUCAUUGGAAUGCACGUCUGGUGAGAUGAUCAGCGCCUUGGAGACAGGAUUGUAGACCUUGUAAGCCUUGUGUUCAAUGCCAUAGCCUAGGAAAAUGCCUCGUUCGCUUGUUGGAGAGUUAUAGAGGGGAUAUGGACGCCAUGGAAGGUGCGCUAAUCCAUUCGAAUUCCACUUUGUGCAAGAACCCUUGACAAUCCUGGACCUCAACAUUGGCAAGCACUUAAACGCGUCUUUUGGUACUUCCGAGAUACGUUUUCUUACGGUCUUAAGGCCACGAGUCAAGCUUACUGGGCUGGCUUUGGCUAAAUUGUUUAGCCUUCACAAUGCAGUUAGCAGCAAGAAGAAGAGCGUCGUUGCCUGCUCCAGCUGUGAGGCGGAGGCUAGUUCCGCAUGCAAAGAGGCCAUCUGGCGUCGCCGCCUCCUCAACGACACCCCGCCCAACACCAAUCUACUGUGAGAAUCAAGGCUACGUCGCCUCGAGCAAACAUCACAAGAUUAAUUCCCGGACGAAACACGCACCACGCUGGGAGACACGUCCAGUUCUUUCCAUGUUCUUGUGAUUCCAAUCUCGAUAAUGCAAUCUUAAUUGAACAUCACAACAGCCUGGAAAUCGAGUCCACUGCUUCAUCCCACCAAACAAUCUGAUCUCGUGCACAGCAUGAAACGAACUCUCCUGAUAGAGCCAUACAGAACCUUCUCAUGUCCAGCCACUUGAUUAUUCUAUGCAGCACACUCAAAUACGUCCAGGUAAAUCUCGAAAUCCUCUCAAAGUAGGCUAAAGGAGAUACUUUCUCAUCUUGCCAAAAGCCCCUUCUAACAGGGUUAGAGAGGGCUUGGGUGAGUUGGCAAGGUGUAGUUUUGGUCUUUCCCUUGAAAGAUCAUGGACCUCACUUCACUACAGUGUCACCUUUAGCCCAUUACAAUGCUGCAUAAAGGGAUCACUGCGUUUGCUCAUUGUGGCGAGGGCGAGAAAGUCCUCGAUGGGAGCGUGGAAGGUGACACUCCGGCCUGCGCCUACAUCAGCUCCGUGAAUCGCAACAAGGAUUUCUUUCUUCUCGUGACAGGGGAUUUUAGGAUCGCGCCAGGCAGGGUCUGCAUGAUCGAUAUGUUCGGCUGGAGAAUGCCGAGGAAUUGCUGCGUGCCAUGCCGUUUGUGACGGAUGCUCUGGUUUGUAGGGUUUUGGUGGCAUCUUGCCGAUCGCAUUACGAUAUAUAUCGGGCAUUGGAUGGCAAAUCGCUCCAGGAGCGUGUUUAAAAUGGAAAUUGGCGGGAAAGCGAUGUGUUUGUUUUUUAUUCUAUCUAGCUGUGCUUACGAAAGUUUCCGAAAGGUAAGAGCUUUGGAAAAAUAAUUUAUUUAUAUAUGUAACUUAGUCAAGUCAGCCUCGCAACCUUUGGAGAAACUUUCAAGUCAUGCCGAUGAGCUCUCUCAACUUCUGGAUGAGACCACGGUCGUCAAUUUGGAACGCUUUCGCGAUCACGUCGUCGUUGAUUGGAGGAUUGGAAUCAAACACCGCCUUGGCCACCUGAGUCGCCCCGGGGUUUUGGCUGUUGAAGCCAGCCAUCGCAACCGCAGGCUCCUUUCCAACGUUGAGCUGGAAGUGGACGAGUCCCCUAGGGAAGACGAACAGAUCUCCAGGAUAGAGCAUUUGGGCGAAGAGCUUGUUGUCCGGCAAUGUGGUGACGAAUCCGACUAAGAGGUUCCCGUGCACGAGGAAGAGCAGCUCGGAUCCUCGGGGAUGGACGUGGGGGGGAUUGGUGCCGCCGGGAGCAUAGUCGAUGCGGGCAAAAGCUACACCAAAGGUGUUGAGACCGGGGAAAUUGUUGACACUCGCCAGCGUGACGUUGGAGCCGAGCUUGUUGUCGGUGUUCCCGGGAGUCGCCAGCAGGCUCGACUUGAAGUCCUCGGCUUUCACAUCGGCAGCCGCCUUGCAGACGACGCCAUUCACUUUGAUCUUGGAGCCAUUGUCUGCAACGCAAAAGUCCUGCAGCAUAUCUUCAUCCGCGGCAUGCACAAACAAGAUGGAGCUGAUUGCUAGGAGGAAGGAUAGAACAAAACGAAGAUGAGCCAUCUUGCGAGCUUGGAAAAGACUGAUGGAGCUAUAUGAGGGAGGGGCAGGCAUUUUAUAGCCGGAGGAGGGGAGGCGAGGUCCUUUGGAUGACUUCGUCGUGAAUCGUGCACGAUUUUAGGUACACGGUCUUCUGUUCCCUUCUAUUUCAUUUUUUACUCUUGCUGUCCGCGUAACACAAUCUGAUUUGUUUGCUGCCAAGUCGUCUCGGAAGUUUUCUUUUACCGGGCUUGUCUAGAGCCGUCAAAAUCAUCUUUUAUGUGUGUAGAUGAUGACGACUGAUGGUAAGAACCGGUCUCAGUGAAACUCGAGUUUUACACGGUCUUAAAAACUUGACACUAAAUUGCUUUAUUCUUCUACCAGAGACUUUUUAUGUGUGGAGUUUUAACGGAAUUAUUAUGGAUUGUGUAGGUCCAUUGCUGAUACAAAUAAACUAUGGGUAUAUCGACCAAAGGUACGUCUAUGUAGGUUAUCAAUUUUGCAGACAACUGUGUAGAAGGAUAGUUGCUCACAUAGUCAUGAGACAUACAUAGUCAUAGUCAUUGUGAUUAUUGCUUGCAUCAUUGUCAUGGGCAAAAUAGAAUGUUUAUUGCUGCUACUUUAUUAAUCACUUUAAUACAAUAAACUUAUGAUAUUAAAAAGUUUAAUAAUUUGUCCCACCAUUGCAAUCUAGGAAAGCAUCCAGUUGGGGUGGUGGGAGCGAACUAAGAAAACACUCCUGUGCUGCUGUGUGAGCAUGUCAAUCAGUCAGCUGACCUCAGUAUCAGUGGUCGUGGGCAGUGCAUUCUAAAGCUCUUGGACUUGUUGGGCAAAGUCGGGCACCCAUGCUGGCAUGACUUAGUCGUGGCCACAGUGAGUUCUGGUUGUUGAUAGGAGUGUUGUAAGCAGCAUACGCAUCCUAGUCAGACAUGAGGCGGUCAAGAACUCUUGGAAUUCCCCGCCAUACCAUUUUGUCAAGGAAAAAUCUAAACAGUACACCACAUUAUUAAAGAAUAGUUUGGCUGACCAAAAUGUAAUCGUUUGUACUACUCCUGUUCCAUCUAUGGUGCCCAAUUGUGUAGUGCUGUUAACAAUGUAGAGUUGGGAGGCACCAUUAGUCAUGUGGAUGUCCUCCGCUGCUGCCUGGUUCCAGGAGCCCUUCUGCUGUUGUUAGUUGAGCCUGCAAAGUCCAUUGCAAUAUUAAAAACGUUUAAUUGCCCAGCCAGUCUCACUGGUUUGAUCGGUCAGUGUAUAGUUUUAUCUUAAGAGUAACAUUCCACGAACUAGAGAGUAGAAUUUAGCUGCUCAACCAAAGUCCCACCCAUAUCCAUAACCCAUGCCUUGUCCACCAGUGGAAUCAACUCUCUGCGAGGAAAGAAAAUAAGAUCCAAGCACUAAUCACGCAAGUUUACCGCAGAUCAUGGCUCAUAACGAGCAACGUCCUCUCCUUCUUUAAGCACGCGAGGUAAGAAUGUAGCUUGGAAUUUUUGGUGAGGUGUUGCUGAUCUCUCUAUCUCUUGAAGCGCCCGAAGAGACAACGCAUGUUACUUUCGAUGAAUCGGCUGUUUCCCUCCCACAACCGGCCAAGACACACAACUCGGCUUGCAAAAAUGGCGAAGAGGUUUGCAAUUUUUUUUUUCCUUCUCUAUAUACUGAAGUCUCAAGCUUGCAAGGGUGCCAGAAUGCUGAAACGGAUUCUACCAGCCAGUGAGCAUGUUUACGUUUUGCGUGGCUACUGGUGAAAUUCAUGGUGUUCUUGCUUUUAAGGUUGCUUUGACUCAACUAUGCUGCCGCGAUGCGUCCCCAUCCUGAGAAGGUGCAAAGCUUACUUGCUAAUUUUUGUAGAUCUUCUAAGCUUUGCUGUUUACAGGCUCAAAGAGGGGGUGAAGAUGCCUUCGUCACAGAAGGCUCCUGGAUGGGUGUUGCUGAUGGUGUUGGGGGCUGGGCCGGAGAAGGUAAGACAAAUCUUUCUUUGAGUCUGUUUCUUCAAAAGAGUUUUUACUGGUUUUCAGGCAUUGAUUCGGGGAUGUAUUCUCGGGAGCUUAUGGGACACUGUGGCAUUGGUUGUAAACAGCAAAGGGAAACCGGACCCCAAGGACGUCAGUACAAAGGCCCAGGGAUCAGCAACGGUCCUUGUGGCUGCAUUGUUUGAGCAAGUAAGCUAGUCGGAUUUGAUGUUUGAGGCUGAGUCGGGUCAUAUAUUUCAGACAUGUACGCAGCAAACUUGGGAGACUUGGGUUCAUCAUAGUUCAAGCUCGGAGCCCAUGCAGCAUAGUUUUAACUUUCCGUUUCAAGUUGGAACAUUUGGUGACCAUCCGACGGUUGCAGAGGUACUCUUGCUUUUCCCUUAACUUCGCUAAUUUUCCGUCUACAGGAAUUCAAGAUCCCUGUCUGCAAGGGGGACAUCAUUGUUUUGGGAACUGAUGGCCUUUUUGACAAUCUCUUCAACAACGACAUAGUCGAAGUUCUUAAAAAAUCUGACCAAGUCAACUUGAAGGUGAACUCUCGCUGUUGAAGAAUCUCAAGAUUGCUAAUAUUCUCUUCACUUUACAGGCAUGUAGCUGGGGCGUAGGCCGAGCGUUUGGAUAGCCCGUUUGCUAGGGGGGCUGCAAAGGCGAGAAUGAAUUGGAGCGGUGGAAAGCUGUUGUGGCGUUUGUGACGUGAUAUUUGAGUCGCGAAGGGUAAACUUUUCAAGCAGUUUUUGCGGAGGCCAGUGUAAAUUGCUCAGGCCGCGGUAUUUCCGGUUCUUACGCUAAUUGAGGUAUGACACCCUUUUGAUUUUAUUCUUCGUGUCUUUGGUGUCUAGCCUUCAUUAGAAACUGGUUUAAAUCGCAGGUAAAUCUUCCUUUAAGAAAUCAAGGUUUUAUUCCAUCAGAAGGUUCACAGCCUGGAAGUUCUAGCCUCACUGGAGAUUGAACUCCGGACAGGACAGGUAUCUCUUCUGUUUAGAGGGAACUGCUCAGGGUGUUAGACAUGUCAGGGAAUCAGUUCAGCUGGACGAUCACGAGCCGGCAACAUGAUCUCUGGCUCGUCCUUCUCGGGGGUACAUGGAGCUGCUAGGCCUUUGGCGCGAUGGGAUCUUUCGCGACUGCGUGGCUCUCCAGGAGCUCUUCAACAGUCUCACUCCCCCGUCCAGCAGCAAACUCCGGAAUGUCAUUCUCGGUUCUACAUCUCUCAGCCAUCCAAAUGGGUGUGCGGGCUUAGAAGUGCUCGAACAACGUUUCGGAGGAGCUCGUGUGGGCCCUAUCAUGUCUCUCAGCUUGGGCAGACUCUUUGAGUUUGCUUGGAUCUCUCAGAGAACCAGUUGAAGGGGAUGGUUCUGAAGGACUAAGUGGUGGAAACCCUGCUACGGUCGAAUAGCAACAAAGAGCUCACAGAGAACAGCUUGAAGGACAGCUCCAGGCGAGCUCAUGUGGAGGAUCCUUGGAUACCACUUUCGUCCAGUACCGUGAGACUCCACCAGAAAGAUGGUGAGGAAGGUGGCGACAAGCCAAUUGGCUGGAGCUGUGACUUCCUUCUUUGUCUCGAGUAUUUGGUCGCGUGUCCCGUCCACAUGGUGAGCCACGGAAUUGUUUCUUAGUUGCUCAAAUCUUAAUUCUUUCUGAUCUCCAGGUUGGUAAUCACCAUUACCAAAUAAGAGGAAUUUUUUGCAUUGAGGCUUUGCAGUUCGGUAGGCGACGAAGAAAAACUUUCCAGGAUCGGAGGAUGAAAAGUUACAGCCCAAGCUUGCUGUUCUUCGUGCUCCUCUUCUCCGCUGCGGCACUGAUACUCGUAUGGAUUCUCGACAUAAAUUCCGACUCCGCAAUGAUGUCCCGGAGCCGAACUCUGGGAUCAAACUUCCGCAUCAGCAACAACACCACAAGCUACAAGGGCAGCGACACUUGCAGGAGUAGGAACGAGUACGACUUCUACAGCCGCCGAAGAUCAGCGAGCUUCGAGCCAUCCGAGUCGGUCCAACGGAAAAUCAUAGAGUACGAGGCUUUGCACGGGAGGUGCGCUCCGGGCCCGAGCAGUGCGCGAACUGUAGUACAUGCGGCUACCUCGUCUACGUUCCCGCCAACCAGGGGAUCGGCAACAAGAUGGUGGCUAUAGUAGCAGCGUUUCUCUACGCGCUGCUCACCGACAGGACGAUGCUGAUCGCGAGGUUGGAGAACCUGGACACGCUCUUCUGCGAGCCGUUUCCAUCCAGCUCCUGGCUGCUGCCGUCGAGCUGGAAGCACCUCGAGUUGGCGCCGUGGGACGCCUCCAAGUGGAUUGGGAGCCUGGCGGGUUCGCCCAACUGCAGCCGCGGCGUCGACGUGAGCUUCCCCGAGGUGGUGGUGGCCUAUCUCGAUUACAACUACAGGGACCAGGACAAGGCCUUCUUCUGCCAAGAUCAACAGCAAGCUCUCAACUCCAGCGCGCGGUGGAUCGUCCUCUCCUCCGGCCAGUACUUCACUCCGGCGCUCUACAACGUCCCGACUUUCAGGAGCAAACUCGAGGAAUUGUUCCCACAGCAGGAGGCCAUCUUCCAUCUCCUGGUGAGGUACCUGUUGCUUCCCAGUGACUUCGUGUGGGACAAGGCGGCCAGGUACUACGACGCAUACCUCGAAACCACAUCUGGUUCUCGCCACCCAACCUCGCCGAGGAUACGUUCGACUGCCUGGUGCAACAAGGCGCGCUCGCAAACACCACCCAGGAGCGAGCUCCCAGAUCGUCGGUGCGAGCUCCCAGAUCGUCGGUGCGAGCUCCCAGAUCGUCGGUGAGGAAGAACAGCAAGAAGGUGGCGGUGCUGGUGGUGUCGCUCAACUCGCAGUACUCGGAGACGCUCAAGAGCAAGGUGCUGGGAUACGAUCUAGCGGACGGUUCCUCGGUGUCCAUCCACCAGCCGAGCGUGGAGGGGGUGCAAAACACAGGGAACUUGGAUCACGACGCACAGGCGGUGAUGGAGAUCCACUUGCUGUCGAUGAGCGAUGUCCUGGUGACGAGCCCGCCAUCCACGUUUGGCUACUCGGCGGCGGGGCUGGCGGGCGUGAGGCCCGUGCAGUUCGUGUGCGACCAGAGCGUGGUUUGCUCAGUGAGGGAGACGAUGGAGCCGUGCUACCACGUUUAUCCGGCUCAGUUCGCGCUGGACAACAUUGAAAAGUGCGAAUGCGGUGGGGUUUCAGACUAGUCUAAAGGACAUUCUUAGAAAGGGUGUUGUCUUAGAAAGUUCUAAGAUUUUAUUUUCUUUUUCGUGAUAGAUUUCUAAGUUGCUCCUUGGCUGCAUGAUGCAAAUCUAGCGUCUUUUGUAGAUUUGCGUGGUCAGGUCAUGCUCUUGGCCCACGCAAAGUUGCGCCAAGGCUGCCUUGAAAUCCGACAUACACGGAACAGGUAAUUUGCUACCAAGAGCUUAUAGACUUCAAAUGGCGAGCUGUCUUUUGUGCAGGACUUUGAAAAACUGCCCAUAUAGUGUUCUGGCUUGGAAGCUAACGAUUCUUAUUUUGACAGAUGGCACGCGCAAAGGACUUGACUGUUUACCAAGCCCGGUGCUGUUUGUGUGAAUAUAAAACAGUGGAGGCCCAUUGGAUCCAAUUGUAUCGGAGCAAGCACGGCUCUUGGUUCUUAUACAACGAUAUCAUCACUAUGUUUAGUGCUUUUGUGGCUGGAAUGAAUCGUGGAAAGAUACUUCUUGCCAUCGCAUUGGUGAUCAUGAUCAGCGGCAACAUCGAAUGUUGCAGGCCGGGCUCGUUUUCGGUGAUGAGCCAGCAGGGCGAGCUUUUCAAUUCCGAAUUGCACUUUCCUGUUGUUAAAAAGAUCCACACUCUUCUCGAAAGAACCUCCCGGAGAAUGCUCACCCAGGGUCAGCCCACGCCAGCUCCCGGCCCUUCCGGGUGCUGCCACGAUAAUUGAAGUGGCGGACAGCCACGUGGCUGACACGUCAUGCAAGGCUCUUUCCAUCUGGCGGCGAAUUCUCCUCCAAAUCCUCCACCUCCACUCCUUUCCCCAUUCUUCCCCACCUCCGCUCCCUCCCAUUACAGUCACACAUCAAUUUACCCAGCUUGCGUCCAGGAGGCGCUUGUCUCACCAAGGUGAAGGGGAAUGAUAAAGGCAACUUUCCAUUUUUCCUUGACUUGAGAGCUGCGUGGAAUUCCCAGAAGUUCCACUCCAGCAAGUAAUGUCUCCACAAGACUUUCAGGGAUGUCUUGUACAGCUGCGAGCAAUCAGCCGUGGUGGUGGCUUGCCCUUGUUCUGGCGAGAAGAUCUGCAAAGAGGAGCGGCUGCAGUGAGUCUUGAAGAUUCGCAGGUCGUUCGGAUUGGGUAUUGGGCAGCACUGGCAAAGGCAGAUUUUCUCCCACUUGACGUGAUGGAGUCUCAUUGGAAUGCACGUUUGGUGAGAUGAUCAGCGCCUUGGAGACAGGAUUGUAGACCUUGUAAGCCUUGUGUUCAAUGCCAUAGCCUAGGAAAAUGCUUCGUUCGCUUGUUGGAGUGUGUUUUUUUUCUAGUUAUAGAGGGGAUAUGGACGCCAUGGAAGGUGCGCUAAUCCAUUCGAAUUCCACUUUGUGCAAGAACCCUUGACAAUCCUGGACCUCAACAUUGGCAAGCACUUAAACGAGUCUUUUGGUACUUCCGAGAUACGUUUUCUUACGGUCUUAAGGCCACAAGUCAAGCUUACUGGGCUGGCUUUGGCUAAAUUGUUUAGCCUUCACAAUGCAGUUGGCAGCAAGAAGCAGAGCGUCCUUGCCUGCUCCGGCUGUGAGGCGGAGGCUAGUUCCGCAUGCAAAGAGGCCAUCUGGCUUUGCCGCCUCCUCAACGACACCCGGCCCAACACCAAUCUACUGCAACAAUCAAGGCUGCAUCGCCUUGAGCAAACAUCACAAGAUUAAUUCCCGGACGACACACGCACCACGCUGAGAGACACGUCCAGUUCUUUCCAUGUUCUUGUGAUUUCAAUCUCGAUAAUGCAAUCUUAAUUGAACAUCACAACAGCCUGGAAAUCGAGUCCGCUGCUUCAUCCCACCAAACAAUCUGAUCUCGUGCACAGCAUGAAACAAACAUUCUCUGUGCCUCUCCUGAUAGAGCCAUACAGAACCUUCUCAUGUCCAGCCACUUGAUUAUUAUAUGCAGCACACUCAAAUACGUCCAGGUAAAUCCCGAAAUCCUCUCAAAGUAGGCUAAAGGAGAUACUUUGUCAUCUUGCCAAAAGUCCCUUCUAACACAUGCUUGAGGGUUAGAGAGGGCUUGGGUGAGUUGGCAAGGUGUAGUUUUGGUCUUUCCCUUGAAAGAUCAUGGACCUCACUUAACUACAGUAUCACCUUUAGCCCAUUACAAUGCUGCAUAAAGGGAUCACUGCGUUUGCUCAUUGUGGCGAGGGCGAGAAAGUCCUCGAUGGGAGCGUGGAAGGUGACACUCCGGCCUGCGCCUACAUCAGCUCCGUGAAUCGCAACAAGGAUUUCUUUCUUCUCGUGACAGGGGAUUUUAGGAUCGCACCAGGCACAGGCAACUGGAGAAUGCCAAGGAAUUGCUGCGUGCCAUGCCGUUUGUGCCGGAUGCUCUGGUUUGUAGGGUUUUGGUGGCAUCUUGCCGAUCGCAUUACGAUAUAUUUCGGGCAUUGGAUCGACGUAUGUCCUGGCAAAUCGCUCCAGGAGCGUGUUUAAAAUGGAAAUUGGCGGGAAAGCGAUGUGUUUGUUUUUUAUUCUAUCUAGCUGUGCUUAUGAAAGUUUCCGAAAGGUAAGAGCUUUGGAAAAAUAAUUUAUUUAUAUAUGUAACUUAGUCAAGUCAGCCUCGCAACCUUUGGAGAAACUUUCAAGUCAUGCCGAUGAGCUCUCUCAACUUCUGGAUGAGACCACGGUCGUCAAUCUGGAACGCUUUCGCGAUCACGUCGUCGUUGAUUGGAGGAUUGGAAUCAAACACCGCCUUGGCCACCUGAGUCGCCCCGGGGUUUUGGCUGUUGAAGCCAGCCAUCGCAACCGCAGGCUCCUUUCCAACGUUAAGCUGAAAGUGGACGAGUCCCCGAGGGAAGACGAACAGAUCUCCAGGAUAGAGCAUUUGGGCGAAGAGCUUGUUGUCCGGCAAGGUGGUGACGAAUCCGACUAAGAGGUUCCCGUGCACGAGGAAGAGCAGCUCGGAUCCUCGGGGAUGGACGUGGGGGGGAUUGGUGCCGCCGGGAGCAUAGUCGACGCGGGCAAAAGCUACACCAAAGGUGUUGAGACCGGGGAAAUUGUUGACACUCGCCAGCGUGACGUUGGAGCCGAGCUUGUUGUCGGUGUUCCCGGGAGUCGCCAGCAGGCUCGACUUGAAGUCCUCGGCUUUCACAUCGGCGGCCGCCUUGCAGACCACGCCGUUCACUUUGAUCUUGGAGCCAUUGUCCGCAACGCAAAAGUCCUGCAGCAUAUCUUCAUCCGCGGCAUGCACAAACAAGAUGGAGCUGAUUGCUAGGAGGAAGGAUAGAACAAAACGAAGAUGAGCCAUCUUGCGAGCUUGGAAAAGACUGAUGGAGCUAUAUGAGGGAGGGGCAGGCAUUUUAUAGCCGGAGGAGGGAAGGCGAGGUCCUUUGGAUGACUUCGUCGUGAAUCGUGCACGAUUUUAGGUACACGGUCUUUUCUUCCCUUCUAUUUCAUUUUUUACUCUUGCUGUCCGCGUAACACAAUCUGAUUUGUUUGCUGCCAAGUCGUCUCAGAAGUUUUCUUUUACCGGGCUUGUCUAGAGCUGUCAAAUUCAUCUUUUAUGUGUGUAGAUGAUGACGACCUUGGUUUUGAUGGUCAGAAUGAAACUCGAGUUUUACACGGUUUUAAAAACUUGACACUAAAUUGCUUUGUUCUUCUACCAGAGACUUUUUAUGUGUGGAGUUUUAACGGAAUUAUUAUGGAUUGUGUAGGUCCAUUGCUGAUACAAAUAAACUAUGGGUAUAUCGACCAAAGGUACGUCUAUGUAGGUUAUCAAUUUUGCAGACAACUGUGUAAAAGGAUAGUUGCUCACAUAGUCAUGAGACAUACAUAGUUAUAGUCAUUGUGAUUAUUGCUUGCAUCAUUGUCAUGGGCAAAAUAGAAUGUUUAUUGCUGCCACUUUAUUAAUUAGUUUAAUGCAAUAAACUUAUGAUAUUAAAAAGUUUUAUAAUUUGUCCCACCAGUGCAAUCUAGGAAAGCAUCCAGUUGGGGUGGUGGGAGUGAACUGAGAGAUACUCCUAUGCUGCUGUGUGAGCAUGUCAAUCAGUCAGCUGACCUCAGUAUCAGUGGUCGUGGGCAGUGCAUUCUAAAGCUCUUGGACUUGUUGGGCAAAGUCGGGCACCCAUGCUGGCAUGACUUGGUCGUGAUUCUGGUUGUUGAUAGGAGUGUUGUAAGUAGCAUAUGCAUCCUAGUCAGACAUGAGGCGGUCAAGAACUCUUGGAAUUCCCUGCCAUUGCAAAGAAACAAAGAAAAAAUAUCAAUGGCUAACUUUCAUUCACCAUUUUGUCAAGGAAAAAUCUAAACAAUACACCACAUUAUUAAAGAAUAGUUUGGCUGACCAAGAUGUAAUCGUUUGUACUACUCCUGUUCCAUCUAUGGUGCCCAAUUGUGUAGUGCUGUUAAUAAUGUAGAGUUGAGAGGCAUUAUUAGUCAUGUGGAUGUCCUCUGCUGCUGCCUGGUUCGAGGAGCCCUUCCGCUGUUGUGAGUUGAGCCUGCAAAGUCCGUUGCAAUAUUAAAAACGUUUAACUGCCCAGUCAGCCUCACUGGUUUGAUCGGUCAGUGUAUAGUUUUAUCUUAAGAGUAACAUUCCACGAACUAGAGAGUAGAAUUUAGCUGCUCAACCAAAGUCCCACCCAUAUCCAUAACCCAUGCCUUGUCCACCAGUGGAAUCAACUCUCUGCGAGGAAAGAAAAUAAGAUCCAAGCACUAAUCACGCAAGUUUACCGCAGAUCAUGGCUCACAACGAGCAACGUCCUCUCCUUCUUUAAGUACGCGAGGUAAGAAUGUAGCUUGGAAUUUUUGGUGACGUGUUGCUGAUCUCUCUAUCUCUUGAAGCGCCCGAAGAGACAACGCAUGUUACUUUCGAUGAAUCGGCUGUUUCCCUCCCACAACCGGCCAAGACACACAACUCGGCUUGCAAAAAUGGCGAAGAGGUUUGCAAUUUUUCUUUCCUUCUCUAUAUACUGAAGUCUUAAGCUUGCAAGGGUGCCAGAAUGCUGAAACGGAUUCUACCAGCCAGUGAGCUUGUUUACGUUUCGCGUGGCUAUUGGUGAAAUUCAUGGUGUUCUUGCUUUUAAGGUUGCUUCGACUCGACUAUGCUGCGGCGAUGCGUCCCCAUCCUGAGAAGGUGCAAAGCUUACUUGCUAAUUUUUGUAGAUCUUCUAAGCUUUGCUGUUUACAGGCUCAAAGAGGGGGUGAAGAUGCCUUCGUCACAGAAGGCUCCUGGAUGGGUGUUGCUGAUGGUUCUGGGGGCUGGGCCGGAGAAGGUAAGACAAAUCUUUCUUUGAGUCUGUUUCUUCAAAAGAGUUUUUACUGGUUUUCAGGCAUUGAUUCGGGGAUGUAUUCUCGGGAGCUUAUGGGACACUGUAAGGCAUUGGUUGUAAACAGCAAAGGGAAACCGGACCCCAAGGACGUGCUUGUCAAAGCCGCCGGCAGUACAAAGGCCCAGGGAUCAGCAACGGUCCUUGUGGCUGCAUUGUUUGAGCAAGUAAGCUAGUCGGAUUUGAUGUUUGAGGCUGAGUCGGGUCAUAUAUUUCAGACAUGUACGCAGCAAACUUGGGAGACUUGGGUUCAUCAUAGUUCGCAAUUGGCAAGUAGUUGCAAGCUCGGAGCCCAUGCAGCAUAGUUUUAACUUUCCGUUUCAAGUUGGAACAUUUGGUGACCAUCCGACGGUUGCAGAGGUACUCUUGCUUUUCCCUUAACUUCGCUAAUUUUCCGUUUACAGGAAUUCAAGAUCCCUGUCUGCAAGGGGGACAUCAUUGUUUUGGGAACUGAUGGCCUUUUUGACAAUCUCUUCAACAACGACAUAAUCGAAGUUCUUAAAAAAUCUGACCAAGUCAACUUCAAGGUGAACUCUCGCUGUUAAGAUUGCUAAUAUUCUCUUCACUUUACAGGCAUGUAGCUGGGACGUAGGCCGAGCGUUUGGACAGCCCGUUUGCUAGGGGGGCUGCAAAGGCGAGAAUGAAUUGGAGCGGUGGAAAGCUGUUGUGGCGUUUGUGACGUGAUAUUUGAGUCGCGAAGGGUAAACUUUUCAAGCAGUUUUUGCGGAGGCCAGUGUAAAUUGCUCAGGCCGCGGUAUUUCCGGUUCUUACGCUAAUUGAGGUAUGACACCUUUUUGAUUUUAUUCAAACGGCUCAUCUUCGUGUCUUUGGUGUCUAGCCUUCAUUAGAAACUGGUUUAAAUCGCACGUAGCUGCUGCUGAAUCUUCCUUUAAGAAAUCAAGGUUUUGUUCCAUCAGAAGCUUCACAGCGUGGAAGUUCUAGCCUCACUGGAGAUUGAACUCCGGACAGGACAGGUAUCUCUUCUGUUUAGAGGGAACUGCUCAGGGUGUUAGACAUGUCAGGGAAUCAGUUCAGCUGGACGAUCACGAGCCGGCAACAUGAUCUCUGGCUCGUCCUUCUCGGGGGUACAUCGAGCUGCUAGGCCUUUGGCACGAUGGGAUCUUUCGCAACUGCGUGGCUCUCCAGGAGCUCUUCAACAGUCUCACUCCCCCGUCCAGCAGCAAACUCCGGAAUGUCAUUCUCGGCUCUACAUCUCUCAGCCAUCCAAAUGGGUGUGCGGGCUUGGAAGUGCUCGAACAACGUUUCGGAGGAGCACGUGUGGGCUGUAUCUUGUCUCUCAGCUUGGGCAGACUCUUUGAGUUUGCUCGGAUCUCUCGGAGAACCGGUUGGAGGGGCUGGUUCUGAAGGACUAAGUGGUGGAAACCCUGCUACGGUCGGAUAGCAACAAAGAGCUCACGGAGAACAGCUUGAAGGACAGCUCCAGGCGAGCUCGUGUGGAAGAUCCUUGGAUACCGCUCUCAUCCCAGUACCGUGAGACUCCACCAGAAAGAUGGUGAGCGACGAAGUCAAUUGGCUGGAGCUGUGAGUUCCUUCUUCGUCUUGAGUAUUUGGUCGCGUGUCCCGUCCACAUGGUAAGCCACGGAAUUGUUUCUUAGUUGCUCAAAUCUUAAUUCUUUCUGAUCUUCAGGUUAGUAAUCACCAUCACCAACUAAGAGGAAUUUUUUGCAUUGAGGUGGAGUUCGGGAGGCAACUUUCCAGGAUCGGAGGAUGAAAAGUUACAGCCCGAGCUUGCUGUUCUUCGUGCUCCUCUUCUCCGCUGCAGCACUGCUACUCAUAUGGGUUCUCGACAUAAAUUCCGACUCUGCGAUGAUGUCCCGGAGCCGAACUCUGGGAUCAAACUUCCGGAUCAGCAACAACACCACAAGCUACAACGGCAGCGACACUUGCAGGAGCAGGAACGAGUACGACUUCUACAGCCGCCGAAGAUCGACGAGCUUCGAGCCAUCCGAGUCGCUCCAAAGGAAAAUCCUAGAGUGGAGGCUUUGCGCGGGAGGUGCGCUCCGGGGCCCGAGCAGUGCGCGAACUGUAGUACAUGCGGCUACCUCGUCUACGUUCCCGCCAGCCAGGGGAUCGGCAACAAGAUGGUGGCUAUAGUAGCAGCGUUUCUCUACCCGCUGCUCACCGACAGGACGAUGCUGAUCGCGAGGUUGGAGAACCUGGACACGCUCUUCUGCGAGCCGUUUCCACCCAGCUCCUGGCUGCUGCCGUCGAGCUGGAAGCACCUCGAGUUGGCGCCGUGGGACGCCUCCAAGUGGAUUGGAAGCCUGGUGGGAUCGCCCAACUGCAGCCGCGGCGUCGACGUGAGCUUGGUGGCCUAUCUCGAUUACAACUACAGGGACCAGGACAAGGCCUUCUUCUGCCAAGAUCAACAGCAAGCUCUUAACUCCAGCGCGCGGUGGAUCGUCCUCUCCUCCGGCCAGUACUUCACUCCGGCACUCUACAACGUCCCGGCUUUCAGGAGCAAGCUCGAGGAAUGGUUCCCACAGCAGGAGGCCAUCUUCCAUCUCCUGGUGAGGUACCUGUUGCUUCCCAGUGACUUCGGGACAAGGCGGCCAGGUACUACGACGCGUACCUGGCCCAGGCCGAGCUUCUAGUCGGGGUCCAGCUGCGAAGCCACAUCUGGUUCUCGCCACCCAACCUCGCCGAGGAUACGUUCGACUGCCUGGUGCAACAAGGCGCGCUCGCAAACACCACCCAGGAGCGAGCUCCCAGAUCGUCGGUGAGGAAGAACAGCAAGAAGGUGGCGGUGCUGGUGGUGUCGCUCAACUUGCAGUACUCGGAGACGCUCAAGAGCAAGGUGCUGGGAUACGAUCUAGCGGACGGCUCCUCGGUGUCCAUCCACCAGCCGAGCGUGGAGGGCGUGCAAAACACAGGGAACUUGGAUCACGACGCACAGGCGGUGAUGGAGAUCUACUUGCUGUCGAUGAGCGAUGUCCUGGUGACGAGCCCGCCAUCCACGUUUGGCUACUCGGCGGCGGGGCUGGAGGGCGUGCGGCCCGUGCAGUUCGUGUGCGACCAGAACAAGAGCGUGGUCUGCUCGGUGAGGGAGACGAUGGAGCCGUGCUACCACGUUUAUCCGGCUCAAUUCGCGCUGGACAACAUUGAAAAGUGCGAAUGCGGCAUGGGUUUCAGACUAGUCUAAAGUACAUUCUUAGAAAGGGUGUUGUCUUAGAAAGUUCUUAAAGCUUUUAAAAUUUUAUUUUCUUUCUCGUGAUAGAUUUCUAAGUUGCUCCUUGGCUGCAUCACGCAAAUCUAGCGUCAUUUGUAGACUUGCGUGGUCAGGUCAUGCUCUUGGCCCAUGCAAAGUUGCACCAAGGCUGCCUGGAAAUCCAGGUAAUUUGGUACCAAGAGCUUAUAGACUUCAAAUGGCGAGCUGUCUUUUGUGCAGGACUUUGAAAAACUGCUCGUAGAGUGUUCUGGCUUGGAAGCUAACGAGUCUUGUUUUGACAGAUGGCACGUGCAAAGGACUUGACUGUUUACCAAGCCCGGUGGAGAACUUUCUAUGUGAAUGAAUAUAAAACACUGGAGGCCCAUUGGAUCCAAUCGUAGCAGAGCAAGCACAGCUCUUGGUUCUUAUACAACGAUAUCAUCACUACGUUUAGUGCUUUUGUGGCUGGAAUGGAUCGUGGAAGGAUACUUCUUGCCAUCACAUUGGUGAUCAUGAUCAGCGGCAAUAUCGAUUGUUCCAGGCCAGGCUCAUUUUUGGUGAUGAGCCAACAGGCCGAGCUUUUCAAUUUCGAAUUGCGCCUUCCUGUUGCUAACAAGAUCCACACUCUUCUCGAAAGGACCUCCCGGAGAAUGCUCAUCCAGGGUCAGCCCACGCCACCCUCCGGCCCUUCCGAGGACAACCACGAUCAUGAUUGAAGAGGCGGACAGCCACGUGGCUGACACGUCACGCAAGGAGACACGUCAGGCUCUUUCCAUCUGGCGGCGAAUUCUCCUCCAAAUCCUUCACCUCCACUUCUUUUCCCAUUCUUUCGCACCUCCGCUCCCUCCCAUUACAGUCACACACCCAGCAUGCGUCCAGGAGGGGACGUCUCACCAAGGUGUGGGGAAUGAUAAAGGCAACUUUCCAUUUUUCCCUGUCAACUUCAAGAGACUUGAGAGCCGCUUGGAAUUCCCAGAAGUUCCACUCCAGCAAGUAAAGUCUCCACAAAACUUUCAGGGAUGUCGUGUACAGCUGCGAGCAAUCAGCCGUGGUGGUGGCUUGCCCUUGUUCUGGCGAGAAGAUCUGCAAAGAGGAGCGGCUGCAGUGAGUCUCGAAGAUUCGCAGGUCGUUCGGAUUGGGCAUGGCUUGAGGGCCGGGCAGGGCAGGAGGGACAAGAGCCGGUGGUGCUAGAGCAGGCUGCAGAGGGAAGUGGGCAGCACUGGCAAAGGCAGAUUUUCUCCCACUUGACGUGAUGCAGUCUCAUUGAAAUGCACGUCUGGUGAGAUGAUCAGCGUCUUGGAGACAGGAUUGUAGACUUUGUAAGCCAAUGCUAUAGCCUAGGAAAAUGCCUCGUUCGCUUGUUGAAGUGAGUUUUUUUCUAGUUUUAGAGGGGAUAUGGACGCCAUGGAAGGUGCGCUAAUCCAUUUGAAUUCCACUUUGUGCAAGAACUUGACAAUCCUGGACCUCAACAUUGGCAAGCACUUAAACGUGUCUUACGAGAUAUGUUUCCUUACAGUCUUAAGGCCACGAGUCAAGCUUACUGGGCUGGCUUUGGCUAUAUUGUUUAGCCUUCACAAUGCAAUUGACAGCAAGAAGAAGAGCGUCGUUGCCUGCUCCAGCUGUGAGGCGGAGGCUAGUUCCGCAUGCAAAGAGGCCAUCUGGCUUCGCCACCUCCUCCUCAACGACACCCGGCCCAACACCAAUCUACUGUGACAAUCAAAGCUACAUUGCCUCGAGCAAACAUCACAAGAUUAAUUCCCGGACAAAACACGCACUAGGCUAAAGGAGAUAUUUUCUCAGCUUGCCAAAAGCCUCUUCUAACACAUGCUUGAGGGUUAGAGAGGGCUUGGGUGAGUUGGCAAGGUGUAGUUUUGGUCUUUCCCUUGAACAUUGUAAGAUCAUGGACCUCACUUCACUACAGUGUCACCUUUAGCCCAUUACAAUGCUGCAUAAAGGGAUCACUGCGUUUGCUCAUUGUGGCGAGGGCGAGAAAGUCCCGGAUGGGAGCGUGGAAGGUGACACUCCGGCCUGCGCCUACAUCAGCUCCGUGAAUCGCAUCAAGGAUUUCUUUCUUCUCGUGACAGGGGAUUUUAGGAUCGCACCAGGCACAGCUAACUGGAGAAUGCCAAGGAAUUGCUGCGUGCCAUGCCGUUUGUGCCGGAUGCUCUGGUUUGUAGGGUUUUGGUGGCAUCUUGCCGAUCGCAUUACGAUAUAUUUCGGGCAUUGGAUCGACAUAUGUCCUGGCAAAUCGCUCCAGGAGCGUGUUUAAAAUGGAAAUUGGCGGGAAAGCGAUGUGUUUGUUUUUUAUUCUAUCUAGCUGUGCUUACGAAAGUUUCCGAAAGGUAAGAGCUUUGGAAAAAUAAUUUAUUUAUAUAUGUAACUUAGUCAAGUCAGCCUCGCAACCUUUGGAGAAACUUUCAAGUCAUGCCGAUGAGCUCUCUCAACUUCUGGAUGAGACCACGGUCGUCAAUCUGGAACGCUUUCGCGAUCACGUCGUCGUUGAUUGGAGGAUUGGAAUCAAACACCGCCUUGGCCACCUGAGUCGCCCCGGGGUUUUGGCUGUUGAAGCCAGCCAUCGCAACCGCAGGCUCCUUUCCAACGUUAAGCUGAAAGUGGACGAGUCCCCGAGGGAAGACGAACAGAUCUCCAGGAUAGAGCAUUUGGGCGAAGAGCUUGUUGUCCGGCAAGGUGGUGACGAAUCCGACUAAGAGGUUCCCGUGCACGAGGAAGAGCAGCUCGGAUCCUCGGGGAUGGACGUGGGGGGGAUUGGUGCCGCCAGGAGCAUAGUCGACGCGGGCAAAAGCUACACCAAAGGUGUUGAGACCGGGGAAAUUGUUGACACUCGCCAGCGUGACGUUGGAGCCGAGCUUGUUGUCGGUGUUCCCGGGAGUUGCCAGCAGGCUCGACUUGAAGUCCUCGGCUUUCACAUCGGCGGCCGCCUUGCAGACCACGCCGUUCACUUUGAUCUUGGAGCCAUUGUCUGCAACGCAAAAGUCCUGCAGCAUAUCUUCAUCCGCGGCAUGCACAAACAAGAUGGAGCUGAUUGCUAGGAGGAAGGAUAGAACAAAACGAAGAUGAGCCAUCUUGCGAGCUUGGAAAAGACUGAUGGAGCUAUAUGAGGGAGGGGCAGGCAUUUUAUAGCCGGAGGAGGGGAGGCGAGGUCCUUUGGAUGACUUCGUCGUGAAUCGUGCACGAUUUUAGGUACACGGUCUUCUCUUCCCUUCUAUUUCAUUUUUUUACUCUUGCUGUCCGCGUAACACAAUCUGAUUUGUUUGCUGCCAAGUCGUCUCGGAAGUUUUCUUUUACCGGGCUUGUCUAGAGCCGUCAAAAUCAUCUUUUCUGUGUGUAGAUGAUGACGACCUUGGUUUUGAUGGUAAGAACUGGUCUCAGUGAAACUCGAGUUUUACACGGUCUUGGUAAAAACUUGACACUAAAUUGCUUGGCACCAGAGUUUUAACGGAAUUAUUAUGGAUUGUGUAGGUCCAUUGCUGAUACAAAUAAACCAUGGGUAUACUGACCAAAGGUACGUCUAUGUAGGUUAUCAAUUUUGCAGACAACUGUGUUGUUAGAAGGAUGGUUGCUCACAUAGUCAUGAGACAUACAUAGUCUUAGUCAUUGUGAUUAUUGCUUGCAUCAUUGUCAUGGGCAAAAUAGAAUGUUUAUUGCUGCCACUUUAUUAAUUAGUUUAAUGCAAUAAACUUAUGAUAUUAAAAAGUUUUAUAAUUUGUCCCACCAGUGCAAUCUAGGAAAGCAUCCAGUUGGGGUGGUGGGAGUGAACUGAGAGAUACUCCUAUGCUGCUGUGUGAGCAUGUCAAUCAGUCAGCUGACCUCAGUAUCAGUGGUCGUGGGCAGUGCAUUCUAAAGCUCUUGGACUUGUUGGGCAAAGUCGGGCACCCAUGCUGGCAUGACUUGGUCGUGAUUCUGGUUGUUGAUAGGAGUGUUGUAAGUAGCAUAUGCAUCCUAGUCAGACAUGAGGCGGUCAAGAACUCUUGGAAUUCCCUGCCAUUGCAAAGAAACAAAGAAAAAAUAUCAAUGGCUAACUUUCAUUCACCAUUUUGUCAAGGAAAAAUCUAAACAAUACACCACAUUAUUAAAGAAUAGUUUGGCUGACCAAGAUGUAAUCGUUUGUACUACUCCUGUUCCAUCUAUGGUGCCCAAUUGUGUAGUGCUGUUAAUAAUGUAGAGUUGAGAGGCAUUAUUAGUCAUGUGGAUGUCCUCUGCUGCUGCCUGGUUCGAGGAGCCCUUCCGCUGUUGUGAGUUGAGCCUGCAAAGUCCGUUGCAAUAUUAAAAACGUUUAACUGCCCAGUCAGCCUCACUGGUUUGAUCGGUCAGUGUAUAGUUUUAUCUUAAGAGUAACAUUCCACGAACUAGAGAGUAGAAUUUAGCUGCUCAACCAAAGUCCCACCCAUAUCCAUAACCCAUGCCUUGUCCACCAGUGGAAUCAACUCUCUGCGAGGAAAGAAAAUAAGAUCCAAGCACUAAUCACGCAAGUUUACCGCAGAUCAUGGCUCACAACGUCCUCUCCUUCUUUAAGUACACGAGGUAAGAAUGUAGCUUGGAAUUUUUGGUGAGGUGUUGCUGAUCUCUCUAUCUCUUGAAGCGCCCGAAGAGUCAACGCAUGUUACUUUCGAUGAAUCGGCUGUUUCCCUCCCACAACCGGCCAAGACACACAGCUCGGCUUGCAAAAGUGACGAAGAGGUUUGCAAAUUUUUUUCCCUUCUCUAUAUACUGAAGUCUCAAGCUUGCAGGGGUGCCAGAAUGCUGAAACGGAUUCAAAUCUCACAUCCCGAGUCAAUGCUAUUGCCGACAUAUUGUCACAGUAGAGUUUGACUGCUGGAAUUUGAAUCCCGAGGUCCUGCAGCAAUGUCUUAAGCCAGAUGGCCUCUUUCGCUGCUGCUGCAGCUGUGAUGUAUUCAGAUUUGCAUGAGAACAUCGUAGUGAUCUAUUGCCUCUUGGAACACUAACUAACCAUGUGAUGGUUAUACAUGAAGACAUACCCUGAGGUGGAUCUUUUGUCAUCUGGAUCUCCUGCCCAGUCUACAUCUGUGAAUCCCACCAGGCCGUUGUCUCCAUCUCCUCUUGCAUAUUUUAGUGUGAAUUUCCUUGUGCCACUCAUAUACCUCAUGAUCUGCUUCACAACGGCUCAAUGUGAGGGUGAUGGAUUGUCCAGGAACUUUGAGACUGCUCCCACAUUGAAUGCGAGGUCAAGCUUAGUUGAGACCAUCAAGUAGAUGAGGCUCCCGACCACUGAACGGUACAGUGUUGUGGUCUCCUCCUCGGGAGUGUCAUCAGAGGUUGAUGUCAAACUUCUCCAGAGGUAUUCUAUGCUUAACGCUAAUCCGGUGGCUACUCCUAUGGAAGUAGGCUCAAAGUUGUCCAAAGCUUUUAUGUCAUGGAUGUAUUUAGGAGAGCUCAAGUACUCCACAUUGCUUAUCAGUGCAAGUUUCCCAGAUCCGUCAUCUCAAAUCUAGCAGCGAGAGAGGCCUUGAUGUGGUGGAUGAGUUGUAUCUAGUUAUUGUAUCGUCCACAUAUAAGGCUAAGAAUAGAAAUCCUUGGCCAUCUCGGUAUAUGUAGAGAUUAUUAUCAGCCGUGCUACGAGUAAAGCCCAACGAGGUCAGAAAGUUGUUAAUUUUAGUGUACCAUGACCUGGGCCUUUGUUUCAGCCCGUAGAGAGCGUCACCACAUUGCCGGACAACAAGCUCUUCGCCCAAAUGCUCUAUCCCGGAGAUCUGUUCGUCUUCCCUCGGGGACUCGUUCACUUCCAGCUCAAUGUUGGAAAGGAGCCUGCGGUUGCGAUGGCUGGCUUCAACAGCCAAAACCCCGGGGCGACUCAGGUGGCCAAGGCGGUGUUUGAUUCCAAUCCUCCAAUCAAUGACGACGUGAUCGCGAAAGCGUUCCAGAUUGACGACCGUGGUCUCAUCCAGAAGCUGAGAGAGCUCAUCGGCAUGACUUGAAAGUUUCUCCAAAGGUUGCGAGGCUGACUUGACUAAGUUACAUAUACAAAUAAAUUAUUUUUCCAAAGCUCUUACCUUUAGAUAGUGGAGACUUUCGUAAGCACAGCUAGAUAGAAUAAAAAACAAACACAUCGCUUUCCCGCCAAUUUCCAUUUUAAACACGCUCUUGGAGCGAUUUGCCAGGACAUAUGUCGAUCCAAUGCCCAAAACAUAUCGUAAUGCGAUCGGCAAGAUGCCACCAAAACCCUACAAACCAGAGCAUCCGGCACAAACGAGCAAUUCCUCGGCAUUCUCCAGUUGCCUGCCACGGCCGAAGAUAUCGAUCAUGCAGACGAACUGAUCCCUGCCUGGCGCGAUCCUAAAAUCCUCUGUCACGAGAAGAAAGAAAUCCUUGUUGCGAUUCACGGAGCUGAUGUAGGCACAGGCCGGAGUGUCACCUUUCUCAUUGCGCCCUCGCCACAAUGAGCAAACGCAGUGAUCCCUUUAUGCAGCAUUGUAAUGGGCUAAAGGUGACACUGUAGUGAAGUGAGGUCCAUGAUCUUACAAUGUUCAAGGGAAAGACCAAAACUACACCUUGUCAACUCACCCAAGCCCUCUCUAAGGGGCUUUUGGCAAGAUGACAAAGUAUCUCCUUUAGCCUACUUUGAGAGGAUUUCGGGAUUUACCUGGACGUAUUUGAGUGUACUGCAUAUAAUAAUCAAGUGGCUGGACAUGAGAAGGUUCUGUAUGGCUCUAUCAGGAGAGGCACAGAGAAUGUUUGUUUCAUGCUGUGCACGAGAUCAGAUUGUUUGGUUGGAUGAAGCAGUGGACUCGAUUUCCAGGCUGUUGUGAUGUUCAAUUAAGAUUGCAUUAUCGAGAUUGGAAUCACAAGAACAUGGAAAGAACUGGACGUGUCUCCCAGCGUGGUGCGUGUUUCGUCCGGGAAUUAAUCUUGUGAUGUUUGCUCGAGGCGAUGUAGCCUUGAUUGUCACAGUAGAUUGGUGUUGGGCCGGGUGUCGUUGAGGAGGCGGCGAAGCCAGAUGGCCUCUUUGCAUGCGGAACUAGCCUCCGCCUCACAGCUGGAGCAGGCAACGACGCUCUUCUUCUUGCUGCUAACUNNNNNNNNNNNNNNNNNNNNNNNNNNNNNNNNNNNNNNNNNNNNNNNNNNNNNNNNNNNNNNNNNNNNNNNNNNNNNNNNNNNNNNNNNNNNNNNNNNNNNNNNNNNNUCAAUGUUGAGGUCCAGGAUUGUCAAGGGUUCUUGCACAAAGUGGAAUUCGAAUGGAUUAGCGCACCUUCCAUGGCGUCCAUAUCCCCUCUAUAACUAGAAAAAAAACACACUCCAACAAGCGAACGAAGCAUUUUCCUAGGCUAUGGCAUCUCACCAGACGGGCAUUUCAAUGGGACUGCAUCACGUCAAGUGGGAGAAAAUCUGCCUUUGCCAGUGCUGCCCAUUUCCCUCUGCAGCCUGCUCUAGCACCACCGGCUCUUGUCCCUCCUGCCCUGCCCGGCCCUCAAGCCAUGCCCAAUCCGAACGACCUGCGAAUCUUCGAGACUCACUGCAGCCGCUCCUCUUUGCAGAUCUUCUCGCCAGAACAAGGGCAAGCCACCACCACGGCUGAUUGCUCGCAGCUGUACACGACAUCCCUGAAAGUUUUGUGGAGACUUUACUUGCUGGAGUGGAACUUCUGGGAAUUCCAAGCGGCUCUCAAGUCUCUUGAAGUUGACAGGGAAAAAUGGAAAGUUGCCUUUAUCAUUCCCCACACCUUGGUGAGACGUCCCCUCCUGGACGCAUGCUGGGUGUGUGACUGUAAUGGGAGGGAGCGGAGGUGCGAAAGAAUGGGAAAAGAAGUGGAGGUGAAGGAUUUGGAGGAGAAUUCGCCGCCAGAUGGAAAGAGCCUGACGUGUCUCCUUGCGUGACGUGUCAGCCACGUGGCUGUCCGCCUCUUCAAUCAUGAUCGUGGUUGUCCUCGGAAGGGCCGGAGGGUGGCGUGGGCUGACCCUGGAUGAGCAUUCUCCGGGAGGUCCUUUCGAGAAGAGUGUGGAUCUUGUUAGCAACAGGAAGGCGCAAUUCGAAAUUGAAAAGCUCGGCCUGUUGGCUCAUCACCAAAAAUGAGCCUGGCCUGGAACAAUCGAUAUUGCCGCUGAUCAUGAUCACCAAUGUGAUGGCAAGAAGUAUCCUUCCACGAUCCAUUCCAGCCACAAAAGCACUAAACGUAGUGAUGAUAUCGUUGUAUAAGAACCAAGAGCUGUGCUUGCUCUGCUACGAUUGGAUCCAAUGGGCCUCCAGUGUUUUAUAUUCAUUCACAUAGAAAGUUCUCCACCGGGCUUGGUAAACAGUCAAGUCCUUUGCACGUGCCAUCUGUCAAAACAAGACUCGUUAGCUUCCAAGCCAGAACACUCUACGAGCAGUUUUUCAAAGUCCUGCACAAAAGACAGCUCGCCAUUUGAAGUCUAUAAGCUCUUGGUACCAAAUUACCUGGAUUUCCAGGCAGCCUUGGUGCAACUUUGCAUGGGCCAAGAGCAUGACCUGACCACGCAAGUCUACAAAUGACGCUAGAUUUGCGUGAUGCAGCCAAGGAGCAACUUAGAAAUCUAUCACGAGAAAGAAAAUAAAAUUUUAAAAGCUUUAAGAACUUUCUAAGACAACACCCUUUCUAAGAAUGUACUUUAGACUAGUCUGAAACCCAUGCCGCAUUCGCACUUUUCAAUGUUGUCCAGCGCGAAUUGAGCCGGAUAAACGUGGUAGCACGGCUCCAUCGUCUCCCUCACCGAGCAGACCACGCUCUUGUUCUGGUCGCACACGAACUGCACGGGCCGCACGCCCUCCAGCCCCGCCGCCGAGUAGCCAAACGUGGAUGGCGGGCUCGUCACCAGGACAUCGCUCAUCGACAGCAAGUAGAUCUCCAUCACCGCCUGUGCGUCGUGAUCCAAGUUCCCUGUGUUUUGCACGCCCUCCACGCUCGGCUGGUGGAUGGACACCGAGGAGCCGUCCGCUAGAUCGUAUCCCAGCACCUUGCUCUUGAGCGUCUCCGAGUACUGCAAGUUGAGCGACACCACCAGCACCGCCACCUUCUUGCUGUUCUUCCUCACCGACGAUCUGGGAGCUCGCUCCUGGGUGGUGUUUGCGAGCGCGCCUUGUUGCACCAGGCAGUCGAACGUAUCCUCGGCGAGGUUGGGUGGCGAGAACCAGAUGUGGCUUCGCAGCUGGACCCCGACUAGAAGCUCGGCCUGGGCCAGGUACGCGUCGUAGUACCUGGCCGCCUUGUCCCGAAGUCACUGGGAAGCAACAGGUACCUCACCAGGAGAUGGAAGAUGGCCUCCUGCUGUGGGAACCAUUCCUCGAGCUUGCUCCUGAAAGCCGGGACGUUGUAGAGUGCCGGAGUGAAGUACUGGCCGGAGGAGAGGACGAUCCACCGCGCGCUGGAGUUAAGAGCUUGCUGUUGAUCUUGGCAGAAGAAGGCCUUGUCCUGGUCCCUGUAGUUGUAAUCGAGAUAGGCCACCAAGCUCACGUCGACGCCGCGGCUGCAGUUGGGCGAUCCCACCAGGCUUCCAAUCCACUUGGAGGCGUCCCACGGCGCCAACUCGAGGUGCUUCCAGCUCGACGGCAGCAGCCAGGAGCUGGGUGGAAACGGCUCGCAGAAGAGCGUGUCCAGGUUCUCCAACCUCGCGAUCAGCAUCGUCCUGUCGGUGAGCAGCGGGUAGAGAAACGCUGCUACUAUAGCCACCAUCUUGUUGCCGAUCCCCUGGCUGGCGGGAACGUAGACGAGGUAGCCGCAUGUACUACAGUUCGCGCACUGCUCGGGCCCCGGAGCGCACCUCCCGCGCAAAGCCUCCACUCUAGGAUUUUCCUUUGGAGCGACUCGGAUGGCUCGAAGCUCGUCGAUCUUCGGCGGCUGUAGAAGUCGUACUCGUUCCUGCUCCUGCAAGUGUCGCUGCCGUUGUAGCUUGUGGUGUUGUUGCUGAUCCGGAAGUUUGAUCCCAGAGUUCGGCUCCGGGACAUCAUCGCAGAGUCGGAAUUUAUGUCGAGAACCCAUAUGAGUAGCAGUGCUGCAGCGGAGAAGAGGAGCACGAAGAACAGCAAGCUCGGGCUGUAACUUUUCAUCCUCCGAUCCUGGAAAGUUGCCUCCCGAACUCCACCUCAAUGCAAAAAAUUCCUCUUAGUUGGUGAUGGUGAUUACUAACCUGAAGAUCAGAAAGAAUUAAGAUUUGAGCAACUAAGAAACAAUUCCGUGGCUUACCAUGUGGACGGGACACGCGACCAAAUACUCAAGACGAAGAAGGAACUCACAGCUCCAGCCAAUUGACUUCGUCGCUCACCAUCUUUCUGGUGGAGUCUCACGGUACUGGGAUGAGAGCGGUAUCCAAGGAUCUUCCACACGAGCUCGCCUGGAGCUGUCCUUCAAGCUGUUCUCCGUGAGCUCUUUGUUGCUAUCCGACCGUAGCAGGGUUUCCACCACUUAGUCCUUCAGAACCAGCCCCUCCAACCGGUUCUCCGAGAGAUCCGAGCAAACUCAAAGAGUCUGCCCAAGCUGAGAGACAAGAUACAGCCCACACGUGCUCCUCCGAAACGUUGUUCGAGCACUUCCAAGCCCGCACACCCAUUUGGAUGGCUGAGAGAUGUAGAGCCGAGAAUGACAUUCCGGAGUUUGCUGCUGGACGGGGGAAUGAGACUGUUGAAGAGCUCCUGGAGAGCCACGCAGUCGCGAAAGAUCCCAUCGCGCCAAAGGCCUAGCAGCUCCAUGUACCCCCGAGAAGGACGAGCCAGAGAUCAUGUUGCCGGCUCGUGAUCGUCCAGCUGAACUGAUUCCUUGACAUGUCUAACACCCUGAGAAGUUCCCUCUAAACAGAAGAGAUACCUGUCCUGUCCGGAGUUCAAUCUCCAGUGAGGCUAGAACUUCCAGGCUGUGAACCUUCUGAUGGAACAAAACCUUGAUUUCUUAAAGGAAGAUUCAGCAGCAGUUACCUGCGAUUUAAACCAGUUUCUAAUGAGCAAAGACACGAAGAUGAGCCGUUUGAAUAAAAUCAAAAGGGAGUCAUACCUCAAUUAGCGUAAGAACCGGAAAUACUGCGGCCUGAGCAAUUUACACUGGCCUCCGCAAAAACUGCUUGAAAAGUUUACCCUUCGCGACUCAAAUAUCACGUCACAAACGCCACAACAGCUUUCCACCGCUCCAAUUCAUUCUCGCCUUUGCAGCCCCCCUAGCAAACGGGCUGUCCAAACGCUCGGCCUACGCCCCAGCUACAUGCCUGUAAAGUGAAGAGAAUAUUAGCAAUCUUGAGAUUCUUCAACAGCGAGAGUUCACCUUCAAGUUGACUUGGUCAGAUUUUUUAAGAACUUCGACUAUGUCGUUGUUGAAGAGAUUGUCAAAAAGGCCAUCAGUUCCCAAAACAAUGAUGUCCCCCUUAGACAGGGAUCUUGAAUUCCUGUAGACGGAAAAUUAGCGAACUUAAGGGAAAAGCAAGAGUACCUCUGCAACCGUCGGAUGGUCACUAAAUGUUCCAACUUGAAACGGAAAGUUAAAACUAUGCUGCAUGGGCUCCGAGCUUGCAACUACUUGCCAAUUGCGAACUAUGAUGAACCCAAGUCUCCCAAGUUUGCUGCGUACAUGUCUGAAAUAUAUGACCCGACUCAGCCUCAAACAUCAACUCCGACUAGCUUACUUGCUCAAACAAUGCAGCCACAAGGACCGUUGCUGAUCCCUGGGCCUUUGUACUGCCGGCGGCUUUGACAAGCACGUCCUUGGGGUCCGGUUUCCCUUUGCUGUUUACAACCAAUGCCUUACAAUGUCCCAUAAGCUCCCGAGAAUACAUCCCCGAAUCAAUGCCUGAAAAGCAGUAAAAACUCUUUUGAAGAAACAGACUCAAAGAAAGAUUUUUCUUACCUUCUCCGGCCCAGCCCCCAACACCAUCAGCAACACCCAUCCAGGAGCCUUCAGUGACGAAGGCAUCUUCACCCCCUCUUUGAGCCUGUAAACAGCAAAGCUUAGAAGAUCUACAAAAAUUAGCAAGUAAGCUUUGCACCUUCUCAGGAUGGGGACGCGUCGCAGCAGCAUAGUCCAGUCGAAGCAACCUUAAAAGCAAGAACACCAUGAAUUUCACCAAUAGCCACGCGAAACGUAAACAAGCUCACCGGCUGCUAGAAUCCGUUUCAGCAUUCUGGCACCCUUGCAAGCUUGAGACUUCAGUAUAUAGAGAAGGAAAGAAAAAUUUGCAAACCUCUUCGCCAUUUUUGCAAGCCGAGUUGUGUGUCUUGGCCGGUUGUGGGAGGGAAACAGCCGAUUCAUCGAAAGUAACAUGUGUUGUCUCUUCGGGCGCUUCAAGAGAUAGAGAGAUCAGCAACACCUCACCAAAAAUUCCAGGCUACAUUCUUACCUCGCGUGCUUAAAGAAGGAGAGGACGUUGCUCGUUGUGAGCCAUGAUCUGCGGUAAACUUGCGUGAUUAGUGCUUGGAUCUUAUUUUCUUUCCUCGCAGAGAGUUGAUUCCACUGGUGGACAAGGCAUGGGUUAUGGAUAUGGGUGGGACUUUGGUUGAGCAGCUAAAUUCUACUCUCUAGUUCGUGGAAUGUUACUCUUAAGAUAAAACUAUACACUGACCGAUCAAACCAGUGAGGCUGGCUGGGCAAUUAAACGUUUUUAACAUUGCAACGGACUUCGCAGGCUCAACUAACAACAGCGGAAGGGCUCCUGGAACCAGGCAGCAGCGGAGGACAUCCACAUGACUAAUGGCGCCUCCCAACUCUACAUUGUUAACAGCACUACACAAUUGGGCACCAUAGAUGGAACAGGAGUAGUAUAAAUGAUUACAUUUUGGUCAGCCAAACUAUUCUUUAAUCAUGUGGUGUACUGUUUAGAUUUUUCCUUGACAAAAUGGUAUGGCGGGGAAUUCCAAGAGUUCUUGACCGCCUCAUGUCUGACUAGGAUGCAUAUGCUGCUUACAACACUCCUAUCAACAACCAGAACUCACUGUGGUCACGACUAAGUCAUGCCAGCAUGGGUGCCCGACUUUGCCCAACAAGUCCAAGAGCUUUAGAAUGCACUGCCCACGACCACUGAUACUGAGGUCAGCUGACUGAUUGACAUGCUCACACAGCAGCACAGGAGUAUUUUCUCAGUUCACUCCCACCACCCCAACUGGAUGCUUUCCUAGAUUUCACUGGUGGGACAAAUUAUAAAACUUUUUAAAAUCAUAAGUUUAUUGUAUUAAACUGAUUAAUAAAGUGGCAGCAAUAAACAUUCUAUUCUGCCCAUGACAAUGAUGCAAGCAAUAAUCACAAUGACUAUGACUAUGUAUGUCUCAUGAACUAUCCUUCUACACAGUUGUCUGCAAAAUUGAUAACCUACAUAGAUGUACCUUUGGUCGAUAUACCCAUAGUUUAUUUGUAUCAGCAAUGGACCUACACAAUCCAUAAUAAUUCCGUUAAAACUCCACACAUAAAAAGUCUCUACAAAGCAAUUUAGUGUCAAGUUUUUAAGACCGUGUAAAACUCGAGUUUCACUGAGACCGGUUCUUACCAUCAAAACCAAGAUCGUCAUCAUCUACACACAUAAAAGAUGAUUUUGACGGCUCUAGACAAGCCCGGUAAAAGAAAACUUCCGAGACGACUUGGCAGCAAACAAAUCAGAUUGUGUUACGCGGACAGCAAGAGUAAAAAAUGAAAUAGAAGGGAACAGAAGACCGUGUACCUAAAAUCGUGCACGAUUCACGACGAAGUCAUCCAAAGGACCUCGCCUCCCCUCCUCCGGCUAUAAAAUGCCUGCCCCUCCCUCAUAUAGCUCCAUCAGUCUUUUCCAAGCUCACAAGAUGGCUCAUCUUCGUUUUGUUCUAUCCUUCCUCCUAGCAAUCAGCUCCAUCUUGUUUGUGCAUGCCGCGGAUGAAGAUAUGCUGCAGGACUUUUGCGUUGCAGACAAUGGCUCCAAGAUCAAAGUGAACGGCGUCGUCUGCAAGGCGGCCGCCGAUGUGAAAGCCGAGGACUUCAAGUCGAGCCUGCUGGCGACUCCCGGGAACACCGACAACAAGCUCGGCUCCAACGUCACGCUGGCGAGUGUCAACAAUUUCCCCGGUCUCAACACCUUUGGUGUAGCUUUUGCCCGCGUCGACUAUGCUCCCGGCGGCACCAAUCCCCCCCACGUCCAUCCCCGAGGAUCCGAGCUGCUCUUCCUCGUGCACGGGAACCUCUUAGUCGGAUUCGUCACCACCUUGCCGGACAACAAGCUCUUCGCCCAAAUGCUCUAUCCUGGAGAUCUGUUCGUCUUCCCUCGGGGACUCGUCCACUUCCAGCUUAACGUUGGAAAGGAGCCUGCGGUUGCGAUGGCUGGCUUCAACAGCCAAAACCCCGGGGCAACUCAGGUGGCCAAGGCGGUGUUUGAUUCCAAUCCUCCAAUCAACGACGACGUGAUCGCGAAAGCAUUCCAGAUUGACGACCGUGGUCUCAUCCAGAAGUUGAGAGAGCUCAUCGGCAUGACUUGAAAGUUUCUCCAAAGGUUGCGAGGCUGACUUGACUAAGUUACAUAUAUAAAUAAAUUAUUUUUCCAAAGCUCUUACCUUUCGGAAACUUUCGUAAGCACAGCUAGAUCGCUUUCCCGCCAAUUUCCAUUUUAAACACGGUCCUGGAGCGAUUUGCCAGGACAUACGUCGAUCCAAUGCCCGAAACAUAUCGUAAUGCGAUCGGCAAGAUGCCACCAAAACCCUACAAACCAGAGCAUCCGGCACAAACGGCAUGGCACCAGCAAUUCCUCGGCAUUCUCCAGUUGCCUGCCACGGCCGAAGAUAUCGAUCAUGCAGACGAAGUGAUCACUGCCUGGCGCGAUCCUAAAAUCCCCUGUCACGAGAAGAAAGAAAUCCUUAUUGCGAUUCACGGAGCUGAUGUAGGCGCAGGCCGGAGUGUCACCUUUCCCAUUGCGCCCUUGCCUCAAUGAGCAAACGCAGUGAUCCCUUUAUGCAGCAUUGUAAUGGGCUAAAGGUGACACUGUAGUGAAGUGAGGUCCAUGAUCUUACAAUGUUCAAGGGAAAGACCAAAACUACACCUUGUCAACUCACCCAAGCCCUCUCUAAGGGGCUUUUGGCAAGAUGACAAAGUAUCUCCUUUAGCCUACUUUGAGAGGAUUUCGGGAUUUACCUGGACGUAUUUGAGUGUACUGCAUAUAAUAAUCAAGUGGCUGGACAUGAGAAGGUUCUGUAUGGCUCUAUCAGGAGAGGCACAGAGAAUGUUUGUUUCAUGCUGUGCACGAGAUCAGAUUGUUUGGUUGGAUGAAGCAGUGGACUCGAUUUCCAGGCUGUUGUGAUGUUCAAUUAAGAUUGCAUUAUCGAGAUUGGAAUCACAAGAACAUGGAAAGAACUGGACGUGUCUCCCAGCGUGGUGCGUGUUUCGUCCGGGAAUUAAUCUUGUGAUGUUUGCUCGAGGCGAUGUAGCCUUGAUUGUCACAGUAGAUUGGUGUUGGGCCGGGUGUCGUUGAGGAGGCGGCGAAGCCAGAUGGCCUCUUUGCAUGCGGAACUAGCCUCCGCCUCACAGCUGGAGCAGGCAACGACGCUCUUCUUCUUGCUGCUAACUGCAUUGUGAAGGCUAAACAAUUUAGCCAAAGCCAGCCCAGUAAGCUUGACUCGUGGCCUUAAGACCGCAAGAAAACGUAUCUCGGAAGUACGAAAAGACGCGUUUUAGUCAAUGUUGAGGUCCAGGAUUGUCAAGGGUUCUUGCACAAAGUGGAAUUCGAAUGGAUUAGCGCACCUUCCAUGGCGUCCAUAUCCCCUCUAUAACUAGAAAAAAAACACACUCCAACAAGCGAACGAAGCAUUUUCCUAGGCUAUGGCAUUGAACACAAGGCUUACAAGGUCUACAAUCCUGUCUCCAAGGCGCUGAUCAUCUCACCAGACGUGCAUCCAAUGAGACUCCAUCACGUCAAGUGGGAGAAAAUCUGCCUUUGCCAGUGCUGCCCAAUGCCCAAUCCGAACGACCUGCGAAUCUUCAAGACUCACUGCAGCCGCUCCUCUUUGCAGAUCUUCUCGCCAGAACAAGGGCAAGCCACCACCACGGCUGAUUGCUCGCAGCUGUACACGACAUCCCUGAAAGUCUUGUGGAGACUUUGAACUUCUGGGAAUUCCAAGCGGCUCUCAAGUCUCUUGAAGUUGACAGGGAAAAAUGGAAAGUUGCCUUUAUCAUUCCCCUCACCUUGGUGAGACAAGCGCCUCCUGGACGCAUGCUGGGUGUGUGACUGUAAUGGGAGGGAGCGGAGGUGCGGAAGAAUGGGAAAAGAAGUGGAGGUGGAGGAUUUGGAGAAUUCACCGCCAGAUGGAAAGAGCCUGACGUGUCUUCUUGCGUGACGUGUCAGCCACGUGGCUGUCCGCCUCUUCAAUCAUGAUGGUGGUUGUCCUCGGAAGGGCCGGAGGGUGGCGUGGGCUGACCCUGGAUGAGCAUUCUCCGGGAGGUCCUUUCGAGAAGAGUGUGGAUCUUGUUAACAACAGGAAGGCGCAAUUCGGAAUUGAAAAGCUCGGCCUGCUGGCUCAUCACCGAAAACGAGCCCGGCCUGGAACAUUUGAUGUUGCCGCUGAUCAUGAUCACCAAUGCGAUGGCAACAAGCAUCCUUCCACGAUCCAUUCCAGCCACAAAAGCACUAAACGUAGUGAUGAUAUCGUUGUAUAAGAACCAAGAGCUGUGCUUGCUCCGAUACGAUUGGAUCCAAUGGGCCUCCAGUGUUUUAUAUUCACAGAAAAAGUUCUUCACCGGGCUUGGUAAACAGUCAAGUCCUUUGCGCGUGCCAAUGUCAAAACAAGACUCGUUAGCUUCCAAGCCAGAACACUCUACGAGCAGUUUUUCAAAGUCCUGCACAAAAGACAGCUGCUGCCCUAGCAAAUGGGCUGUCCAAACGCUCGGCCUGCGCCCCAGCUAUAUGCCUGUAAAGUGAGGAGAAUAUUAGCAAUCUUGAGAUUCUUCAACAGCGAGAGUUCACCUUCAAGUUGACUUUGUCGGACCCAAGAGAUUUUUUAAGAACUUUGAUUAUGUCGUCGUUGAAGAGAUUGUCAAAAAGGCCAUCAGUUCCCAAAACAAUGAUGUCCCCCUUGCAGACAGGGAUCUUGAAUUCCUGUAGACAGAAAAUUAGCGAAUUUAAGGGAAAAGCAAGAAUACCUCUGCAACCGUUGGAUGGUCACCAAAAGUUCCAACUUGAAACAGAAAGUUAAAACUAUGCUGCAUGGGCUCCGAGCUUGCAACUACUUGCCAAUUGCGAACUAUGAUGAACCCCGAGUCUCCCAAGCUUGCUGCAUACAGUGUCUGAAACAUAUGACCCGACUCAGCCUCAAACAUCAAAUCCGACUAGCUUAGUUGCUCAAACAAUGCAGCCACAAGAACCGUUGCUGAUCCUUUGGCCUUUGUACUGUGGAGACAAUUGAUGACAAGUCUCCACAUCAGCAAAAAAGACAUGUCAUUCAUCCAAGACACCAACCACCAAGAGUCACACCCAUACUGUUAUGUACAUAACCAUACCAAAGCAAUGAAGUCGAUAGAGCAUUCUGCGUACACUGGCAAACACAGCAACACAACGAGCAGGACCACGCUAGGGCUCUUGUAGUCCUUGCUAGGGUGGAACGACAGAUUCAAGAACGCAAGUGAGCACAACAUGAUGUCCAUCCGUGCUUCUACCCUAAUUGUCGCUCUAUGUGCAUGGCGUAUGGGCGUCCCUUCCAGUGAUUCCCACUGCCUCUUCCCCGCCCCUGCCCCCGCCCCCGCCCCCCCCCCCCCCCCCCUCGCUUCUAGCUUACUCUAUUGUUUUGUCCUUUCUUCUAGAAACUAAUGGCUACCAGUACUCCACCUCGCACUACAUCUAGAACCACCCUAGCGAGCACCAUGGCCAUCCUGGCUGGCAACUAAGAUGUAGGAUGGGAGAAGCUACUCUAGAAGUUCACAGGCGAGAACUUCACAACUUGGAAGACCAAAGUCCAAUUAAUCCUAAUGGCAAAAAAUUGUUGAGAUUUGGUGGAGGGAACCGAAGUGAGACCUCAAGAUAUAGAAGCAGCCUUGCAAGCUACUUAAGACUCUAAGAACGGCAAAGCCCUUUCCGUGAUUGGACUAGGUCUUGGAGAUGAAUUUAUUCAUCUCCUUGAUCUAGAAAAAUCCGCCAAGGCCAAUUGGGACUCCCUUUCCCAAGUCUUUGUAGCCAAAGCUGCUAAUGCUAAAUUGGUUCUGACCCAGAAAUUUUUCUCCCUAUGCAUGCAGCCUGGUGAGAUGAUGGCAACAUACAUUGGGAAGCUCAAGGGUUUAAUGCAGCAGCUGAAGGAAGUAGGUGCUGCAGUUUCCGAUGACUAUGCAAAAGCCUUCUUGCUCUACUCUGUAUCUUAAGAGUUGCAACAAUUGUCCUCCAUGCUUUCUUUUGUCCCAGGCAAAACCAUGGAGGAGCUCUACUCUGAUCUACUCAAGGAAGAGCACAAGAUUGCUGAGCGUCAAGCUGGCCAUCAAGGAUCCCCUCAAGCUGCUCGCGAGCAGGCCUUGUUUCUUGGUAAGAAACAAUCGAGUGGGGAGUAGAGGAAAGGAGGCACUAGCCGUGGGCCUCGUAUCUCUUCUGCUACAACUCCCAGCUCUUGAUUUAACUUCUCCAAGAAGAAAAAAGGUCCUUGCAACUAUUGUGGAAAGAUGGGGCAUGUCGAGUGUGAGUGUUGUGCAAAGAAGGCUGCCACCCAGCACAUGCUUACCCAGAGCAACUUGUUGUUGAUGAUGGCUCUUUACCCGUCACCGGUGUCUGCUCUUGAGGUUCUAUGGCUGGAUAGUGGUGCCUCUUUUCACAUGACUCCCUUAAGGUCUGCCUUUCACACUUACAAGGCUCUUCAAGCUCCACAACAGGUUUAUGUCGGCGACAAGCGACCACUCUAGGUGGAAGGUCGUGGCAUGGUGGUGAUCAGGCUAUCCACUGGACCUUUUAAGGAGGUUCAUCACGUGCACUUUGUACCUGAAGCAGCACAUACAGUUCUUUCUAUAGGUGUAGCCUCAGAUCAAGGCUUUACUACCACCUUCUUCCCAAAAGGGUGCACCAUCUAUGGUCGUGAUGGUACUUCUGUAGCUAGUGGCAUGAGGUAUGAAACACUCUACUGUUUAAAUGCAGAAUUGGUUUUUCCAACUCAAGUGCUUGCUUUCUGAGCACAAGACACCAUUGAGCUCUGGCAUGCUCGUCUGGGGCAUGUCAAUGAACGAGAUCUACAUGCCUUGGCUCGUAACCAGCAUGCUAAAGGCAUCAUGCUCCCAACUGGCCAUCUAGGCGUGUGUGAAACUUGCUAUCUUGGGAAGCAAGUUCACCUUCCUUUUCCAUCAAGAACCAUGGAGGACCAAGCUACAGGCUUAUUGGAUCUGGUUCACAAUGACGUGUGCUACUUGCCAUGGAAACACUCAGCCACAAGAGGUACUUUGUGUCUUUUAUCAAUGACCAUUCCAGAUAUGCUGUGGUGAGCCUUCUCCAUGCCAAGAGCGAAGUGUUCAACCACUUUAAGCUUUUUAAGAGCUGGGCAGAGACGUCUACUGGCCAAAAGAUUCGUGUGUUACGCACAGAUGGUGGUGGAGAGUACCUGAACAAAGAGUUUCUCAACUUUCUAGCUGAGGCUAGCAUUGUUCACCAGUACACAACAGCCCAUACUCCCCAACAGAACGGCAUGGCAGAGCACCUCAAUCGCAUGCUACUAGAGACUGUUUGUUGCCUUCUCCAACACACAAGCAUACCCAACUCUUUUUGGGGUGAAGCCAUUAACACGGUUGUUUAUAUCCGUAAUCGCCUUCCCACAAGGAGCACUGGUGUGGUUCCUUAUCAAGCUUGGACUGGGAAGUGUCCUCAGUUAGGGCACUUGAGGGUCUUUCGCUGCACAAUGUAUGCUUGCAUUCCAGAUGCGACUCGGCAGAAGCUGGAUCCUAGGAGCCAGAAGACCAUCUUCGUGGGCUAUCAUGCUCAUUCCAAGGCCUAUCACCUACCUCUAUAAUCUUGCUCUCAAGAAGCUCGUGGUCAGCCAAGAUGUCUCUUUCAAUGAGCAAGAUCUUUAUCGCCACAUUCAAGGUACUAUUCCUUCAAGUUCUAACUUGGUGGACUUGACCCCAGUGCUGGAAGACGAGCUCACCCACCCACCAACACCAGCAAUCCAAAGGCUACUCGUUCCAGAAGGAGGAACACCUCUUCCACUUGGUGAUGAACCUUCUCCAGCAACUCUGCUGCUACCAGUUCCUCUAGUCACUUCGGUGGCUACUAGCAGCAACACUACUUCAUCCAAUGAGCAGAAUCUUGCUGCUACUGUGGACGAGUUGUUCAUUGGUGAAGAAACAGUUGGAGGAUCUUCCCGCUCACCUCCUCCAGAUUCUCUCAUGACACCACCACCUCGUCAAGAGAUUGGAGCUAUUACCUGUUUAGGACAAGUGAGCAAGCCAACGGUCAAAGCUCUAGAAUCUCUUGCUCAAGCUCCAUGCAAGAAGGGAUUCUACUGGGCCAUGAGCUCCAUUGUUGAACCUCGUGGCUACCAAGUUGCUCUCUCCAAUCCUGAUGCCUCACAGUGGCAAGCAGCCAUGCAGGACGAGUAUGACUCAUUGAUCAAGAAUGGAAUCUGGACAUUGGUUCCCCUCCCUCCCGGCAGGAAGGCAGUCACAGCCAAAUGGCUGUUCAAGAAGAAAUAUCGAGCUGAUGGCAGCAUUGAGCGCUACAAGGCACACUUUGUAGCUCGUGGUUUCUCUCAGAUCCAAGGAGUUGAUUACUCUCAAACUUAUAGCCUUGUUAUAAAGCUGACAACAAUUUGUGUUUUGAUGAGUCUUGCAGUUGAGCUCGACCUGGAGCUCCAUCAACUUGAUGUGAGAACUGCAUUCCUGAAUGGUGAUCUUGAGGAGGAGGUGUAUGUUGCCCAGCCUCCUGGAUUUAUACGUCCCGGACAAGAGCAUCUAGUCUGCCGCUUGCACAAGACUAAGAGGUUCCCGUGCACGAGGAAGAGCAGCUCGGAUCCUCGGGGGUGGACGUGGGGGGGAUUGGUGCCGCCAUGAGCGUAGUCAAUGCGGGCAAAAGCUACACCAAAGGUGUUGAGACCGGGGAAAUUGUUGACACUCGCCAGCGUGACGUUGGAGCUGAGCUUGUUGUCGGUGUUCCCGGGAGUCGCCAGCAGGCUCAACUUGAAGUCCUCGGCUUUCACAUCGGCGGCCGCCUUGCAGACGACGCCGUUCACUUUGAUCUUGGAGCCAUUGUCUGCAACGCAAAAGUCCUGCAGCAUAUCUUCAUCCGCGGCAUGCACAAACAAGAUGGAGCUGAUUGCUAGGAGGAAGGAUAGAACAAAACGAAGAUGAGCCAUCUUGCGAGCUUGGAAAAGACUGAUGGAUUAUAGCCGGAGGAGGGAAGGCGAGGUCCUUUGGAUGACUUCGUCCUGAAUCGUGCACGAUUUUAGGUACACGGGCUUCUGUUCCCUUCUAUUUCAUUUCUUACUCUUGCUGUCUGCGUAACACAAUCUGAUAUUUUUGCUGCCAAGUCGUCUCGGAAGUUCUCUUUUACCAGGCUUGUCUAGAGCCGUCAAAAUCAUCUUUUCUGUGUGUAGAUGACGACCUUGGUUUUGAUGGUAGGAACUGGUCUCAGUGAAACUCGAGUUUUACACGGUCUUGCUAAAAGCUUGGCACCUUCUUGGCACCAGAGACUUUUUAUGUGUGGAGUUUUAACGUGCUGAUACAAAUAAACCAUGGGUAUAUCGACCAAAGGUACGUCUCUGUAGGUUAUCAAUUUUGCAGACAACUGUGUAGAAGGAUAGUUGCUCACAUAGUCAUGAGACAUACAUAGUCAUAGUCAUUGUGAUUAUUGCUUGCAUCAUUGUCAUGGGCAAAACCGAAUGUUUAUUGCUGUCACUUUAUUAAUCAGUUUAAUGGAAUAAACUUAUGAUAUUAAAAAGUUUUAUAAUUUGUCCCACCAUGGCAAUCUAGGAAAGCAUCCAGUUGGGGUGGUGGGAGUGAACUGGGAAAUACUCCUGUGCUGCUGUGUGAGCAUGUCAAUCAAUCAUUUAACCUCAGUAUCAGUGGUCGUUGUGGGCAGUGCAUUCUAAAGCUCUUUGGACUUGUUACGCAAAGUCCGGCACCCAUGCUGGCAUGACUCAGUCGUGACCACAAUGAGUUCUGGUUUUGAUAGGAGUGUUGUAAGCAGCAUAUGCAUCCUAGUCAGACAUAAGGUGGUCAAGAACUUUUGGAAUUCCCCACCAUUACAGAAAAACAAGGGGAAAAUAUUAAUAAUUACUUUAUUUAACUUUCACUCACCAUUUUGUCAAAGAAAAACCUAAACAAUGGUCAGUGUAUAGUUUUAUCUUAAGAGUAACAUUCCAUGAACUAGAGAGUAGAAUUUAGUUGCUCAACCAAAGUCCCACCCAUAUCCAUAACCCACGCCUUGUCCACCAGUGAAAUCAACUCUCUGCGAGGAAAGAAAAUAAGAUCCAAGCACUAAUCACGCAAGUUUACCGCAGAUCAUGGCUCACAACGAGCAACGUCCUCUCCUUCCUUAAGUACGCGAGGUAAGAAUGUAGCUUGGAAGUUUUGGUGAGGUGUUGCUGGUCUCUCUAUCUCUUGAAGCGCCCGAAGAGACAACGCAUGUUACUUUCGAUGAAUCGGCAGUUUCCCUCCCACAACCGGCCAAGGCACACAACUCGGCUUGCAAAAAUGGCGAAGAGGUUUGCAAUUUUUUUUCCUUCUCUAUAUACUGAAGUCUCAAGCUUGCAGGGGUGCCAGAAUGCUGAAACGGAUUCUACCAGCUGGUGAGCUUGUUUAUUUUCGCGUGGCUAUUGGUGAAAUUCAUGAUGUUCUUGCUUUUUAAGGUUUCUUCGACUCGACUAUGCUGCCGCGAUGCGUCCCCAUCCUGAGAAGGUGCAAAGCUUACUUGCUAAUUUUUGUAGAACUUCUAAGCUUUGCUGUUUACAGGCUCAAAGAGGGGGUGAAGAUGCUUUCUUCACUGAAGGCUCCUGGAUGGGUGUUGCUGAUGGUGUUGGGGGCUGGGCCGGAGAAGGUAAGAAAAAUCUUUCUUUGAGUCUGUUUUUCCAAGAGUUUUUACUGGUUUUCAGACAUUGAUUAGGGGAUGUAUUCUCGGGAGCUUAUGAGACAUUGUCAGGCAUUGGUUGUAAACAGCAAAGGGAAACCGGACCCCAAGGACGUGCUUGUCAAAGCCGCCGGCAGUACAAAGGCCCAGGGAUCAGCAACGGCAGGGAUCAGCAACGGUCCUUGUGGCUGCAUUGUUUGAGCAAGUAAGCUAGUCGGAUUUGAUGGUUGAGGCUGAGUCUGGUCAUAUAUUUCAGACACUGUACGCAGCAAACUUGGGAGACUCGGGGUUCAUCAUAGUUCGCAAUUGGCAAGUAGUUGCAAGCUCGGAGCCCAUGCAGCAUAGUUUUAACUUUACGUUUCAAGUUGGAACGUUUGGUGACCAUCCGACGGUUGCAGAGGUACUCUUGCUUUUCCCUUAAGUUCUCUAAUUUUCCGUCUACAGGAAUUCAAGAUCCCUGUCUGCAAGGGGGAAACCAUUGUUUUGGGAACUGAUGGCCUUUUUGACAAUCUCUUCAACAACGACAUAAUCGAAGUUCUUAAAAAAUCUCUUGGGUCCGACCAAGUCAACUUGAAGGUGAACUCUCGCUGUUGAAGAAUCUCAAGAUUGCUGAGAUUCUCUUCACUUUACAGGCAGCUGCAGCAGACCUUGUAGCUGGGGCGCAGGCCAAGCGUUUGGACAGCCCGUUUGCCAGGGCGGCUGCAAAGGCGAGAAUGAAUUGGAGUGGUGGAAAGCUAGAUGAUACCACGGCAGUUGUGGCGUUUGUGACGUGAUAUUUGAGUCGCGAAGGGUAAACAUUUCAAGCAGUUUUUGCAGGGGCCAGUGUAAAUUGCUCAGGCCGUUAAUAUUUGCGGUAUUUCCGGUUCUUUCGCUAAUUGUAUGACAUCCUUUUGAUUUGAUUCAAACCGCUCAUUCUGUUUAGAGGGAACUGCUCAAGGUCACUUGAGGUGUUAGACAUGUAGUUUAGCUGGACGAUCACGAGCAAGCUCAAGAUACUCAAGCUCUCCGGCAACAUGAUCUCUGGCUCGUCCUUCUCGGGGGUACAUCGAGCUGCUAGGCCUUUGGCACGAUGGGAUCUUUCGCGACUGCGUGGCUCUCCAGGAGCUCUUCAACAGUCUCACACCCUCGUCCAGCAGCAAACUCCAGAAUGUCAUGCUCGGAAGUGCUCGAACAACGUUUCAGAGGAGCUCGUGUGGGCUGUAUCUUGUCUCUCAGCUUGGGCAGACUCUUUGAGUUUGCUCGGAUCUCUCGGAGAACCGGUUGGAGGUUCUGAAGGACUAAGUGGUGGAAACCCUGCUCCGGUCGGAUAGCAACAAAGAGCUCACGGAGAACAGCUUGAAGGACAGCUCCAGGCGAGCUCGUGUGGAGGAUCCUUGGAUACCGCUCUUGUCCCAGUACCGUGCGACUCCACCAGAAAGAUGGUGAGGAAGGUGGCGACAAGCCAAUUGGCUGGAGCCGUGACUUCCUUCUUUGUCUCGAGUAUUUGGUCGCGUGUCCCGUCCACAUGGUGAGCCACGGAAUUGUUUCUUAGUGGUGGUGGUUGUUUCCCCGAGGUGCUGGUGGCCUAUCUCGAUUACAACUACAGGGACCAGGACAAGGCCUUCUUCUGCCAAGAUCAACAGCAAGCUCUCAACUCCAGCGCGCGGUGGAUCGUCCUCUCCUCCGGCCAGUACAUCACUCCGGCGCUCUACAACGUCCCGGCUUUCAGGAGCAAGCUCGAGGAAUGGUUCCCAUAGCAGGAGGCCAUCUUCCAUCUCCUGGUGAGGUACCUGUUGCUUCCCAGUGACUUCGUGUGGGACAAGGCGGCCAGGUACUACGACGCGUACCUGGCCCAGGCCGAGCUUCUAGUCGGGGUCCAGCUGCAAAACCACAUCUGGUUCUCGCCACCCAACCUCGCCGAGGAUACAUUCGACUGCCUGGUGCAACAAGGCGCGCUCGCAAACACCACCCAGGAGCGAGCUCCCAGAUCGUCGGUGAGGAAGAACAGCAAGAAGGUGGCGGUGCUGGUGGUGUCGCUCAACUCUCAGUACUCGGAGACGCUCAAGAGCAAGGUGCUGGGAUACGAUCUAGCGGACGGCUCCUCGGUGUCCAUCCACCAGCCGAGCGUGGAGGGCGUGGAAAACACGAAGAACUUGGAUCACGACGCACAGGCGGUGAUGAAGAUCUAGUUGCUGUCGAUGAGCGAUGUCCUGGUGACGAGCCCGCCAUCCACGUUUGGCUACUCGGCGGCGGGGCUGGCGGGCGUGAGGCCCGUGCAGUUCGUGUGCGACCAGAACAAGAGCGUGGUUUGCUCGGUGAGGGAGACGAUGGAGCCGUGCUACCACGUUUAUCCGGCUCAGUUCGCAUUGAAAAGUGCGAAUGCAGCGUGGGUUUCAGACUAGUCUAUAGAAAGUUCUUAAAGCUUUUAAAAUUUUAUUUUCUUUCUCGUGAUAGAUUUCUAAGUUGCUCCUUGGCUGCAUGAUGCAAAUCUAGCGUCAUUUGUAGAUUUGCGUGGUCAGGUCAUGCUCUUGGCCCACGCAAAGUUGCGCCAAGGCUGCCUUGAAAUCCAGGUAAUUUGGUACCAAGAGCUUAUAGACUUCAAAUGGCGAGCUGUCUUUUGGGCAGGACUUUGAAAAACUGCUCGUAGAGUGUUCUGGCUUGGAAGCUAACGAGUCUUGUUUUGACAGAUGGCACGUGCAAAGGACUUGACUGUUUACCAAGCCCGGUGGAGAACUUUCUGUGUGAAUGAAUAUAAAGCACUGGAGGCCCAUUGGAUCCAAUCGUAGCAGAGCAAGCACAGCUCUUGGUUCUUAUACAACGAUAUCAUCACUACGUUUAGUGCUUUUGUGGCUGGAAUGGAUCGUGGAAGGAUACUUCUUGCCAUCACAUUGGUGAUCAUGAUCAGCGGCAACAUCGAUUGUUCCAGGCCAGGCUCGUUUUCGGUGAUGAGCCAACAGGCCGAGCUUUUCAAUUUCGAAUUGCGCCUUCCUGUUGUUAACAAGAUCCACACUCUUCUCGAAAGGACCUCCCGGAGAAUGCUCACCCAGGAUCAGCCCACGCCAGCUCCCGGCCCUUCCGGGUGCUGCCACGAUAAGUGAAGAGGCGGACAGCCACGUGGCUGACACGUCACUCUAGGAGACACGUCAGGCUCUUUCCAUCUGGCGGCGAAUUCUCCUCCAAAUCCUCCACUCCUUUCCCCAUUCUUCCCCACCUCCGCUCCCUCCCAUUACAGUCACACAUCAAUUUACCCAGCUUGCGUCCAUGAGGCGCUUGUCUCACCAAGGUGAAGGGGAAUGAUAAAGGCAACUUU
Molecule: long non-coding RNA, 55380 nt
Filed under: Selaginella moellendorffii
Lineage: Eukaryota; Viridiplantae; Streptophyta; Lycopodiopsida; Selaginellales; Selaginellaceae
Description: long non-coding RNA (SMOE_LNC002166)
Source: RNAcentral